This 74073-nucleotide long non-coding RNA is filed under the name Setaria italica (foxtail millet). Its description in RNAcentral is "long non-coding RNA (SITA_LNC000532)". Lineage: Eukaryota; Viridiplantae; Streptophyta; Magnoliopsida; Poales; Poaceae. The record is from RNAcentral.
UUUUGCAAUGGCAUCAGGAAUUGGCUCUGGGAUAGACUUGAUAGCUUCACCUAUAGCUGAUUUUAUAUGUGCCAGACUUUCUUCCUGAGCAGGUUUCAAACCUUCGAUAGCUGACAUUAUCUGGGACAGUGGAUCCUGAGCAGUAGGCUUCACAGGUGUAGAAUUUCUCUCCUUUUGUUCAGUUGGUUGACUUUUCUUUAGCUGAACAGUAAUCCUCAGAGGGUUUAGUUUCUGACGCAGAGCUGCAUCACGCAGGUCAUCAUCAUCAUCUAGCAUGACAGCAUCACCAUCCUCAUCGGUGUAAGUCAGAAUGAAGUCAGCAUCAGGACCGAACUUAAAGGCAGUUGCUAUCUUUGCCCGCAGAGCAGAUAAAUUCAUGUCCAAAUGAGCUCCAUUGACACAACCAUAAAACCUCUUAAGAGUGUCACCGUAUUUGACCUGCAAUAUGUUAAAGAAAAUCAGAAAGUUACAGUAAGAUAAUACACUCAUAGUCAGCACUUACAGCUAGAAGAUCAAAUGAAAACAGUGAUAUAUGCGAGAACAAAAAUCAUAUAAAGUUGGGGACAUGAAGCUCUUAAAAUUGACCUGUUGAAACCCUCUAGGAACAACAACAAAAAAUUGCCAGGUUUCAAAACAACAAAAAGGACAUUAGUUAAACAAUCUGGAUAAACAUGGUGGAAGUGUCAGAGGAGUACAGAAAGAAAGGACAACUCAACAAAGUUGAAAUGGUGGAACCAUAAAGUUAAAUCAAAGCAGUCUAAUGGAAGAAACAUAUUACACCUACUGCAGCCUCAAGAUGCACUUAGUCAAUGUGCAAGGCUAUUCAAUCUUAUCGUUUCGACCUAUUCCAGAAAACCUGCAUGACUGAACCCUCAAUUGCAAUGAUCAUCCUUUUUCUGUUAUCCAAUUCAAAAUCAUAAAUGGCAACUAAACUAAAGCAAGGCAGAGCAAGAAGCAGAAAUAGAACAAUUGGAAUCUAACUGUUGUUCUGCCUAAAAUGUUCUUAACAUCUAUUCUUAAUCCACGUUGAAUCCAAAAACUGGCAUAGAGAACUGUACAAAGAGAUGGCUCUCUAUACAUCAUAUUCUAAAAAAAUACAUCUAGUUUCAUCAGAAAAUAAACAAUCUCGAUGUGAACAGUAAUACAGAACAGCUAACAUGCCCAACUUUCCCCCCCAUUUUUCCUGCUAUUUUAAGAAUCCACAAGUGGGAACUCGUUAAUAGCACUCUUUAAAGUUAGAUUCAGAUAUCACAAAAUACCAUGUAGGAGCAUAUUUCAUGAGCAGAUUACCCUAGACGCCACAGGCAAACAUAGGACCAUCUUCAGUCAUUAACUAUCAGGCACCGACAGAUGAAUCCCCAUCCGAAGGUGUUUGGUAAUAAGCACGCACAAAGAAAAUCAUGUCCGUGGUCUCACACCACCAUCGGCAAAUAUAGAAGAAUCUUUAUCUUUAAACCACACGAUGAAUAAACUAAGAGACUCCAUCGCCUACACAAAAUAUCUCCUCGUGGAAAAAGAGAAUCUACACCAACAAAACAAACCGCAAAACCCUAGUCACCACAGGACUGUGGAAACCCCCUGUUUCCGUCGAUCUAAUACCCAAUCCGACCAUACCCACGGCCGAUCCAUGAUUCAACACAGAAACCCCCAACCCACGGCCCUCCCCACAUCGAUCAAAUCAAAACCAUGAACAGAGGCGGAGGUUCCCCCACACGGCCACACCUCACGCCACCACCGUGCCCCCUAAAUCGCACAGAACCCCAAGUACGAAACCACAGAUUUUUCGGCCGGGGUGCCUCACCUUGAAUGUGACGUCUCGCACCUCGGCCUGCGGGCCGAAGGGGAAGAACGUCGGCGCGGCCGGCGAGCUCCGGUCGGACAUCGUGUCGGGGGGGAAGCCCCGCGGGGGGGAGGACGAAGCGGCGAUCUGGCCGAACCCUAGCGGAGUCAGUCGUCGAUCGAUUCGGGACGAACCCUUGACGCAAUCGGAGAGGAGGGGGAGGGGCAGGGGAGGAGGGGGAGCGGGCUGCGUAGCCGUGAGCCGCAGCUGUGGUGGUGAGGGGAGAGUGUCGAUGCGGCCAAGCCCUGGGCACCGGAGCCCCUCUUUAUCACGCCUCGUUUGCUUCCGAGCGAAGGGAUAGCUCUCUAGGCGGUGCCGUUGGGGAUUUAAUGCCGGGCCCCACGCGUCAGCGAGCGAGCGAGACUCCGGUCGCUUCCCCGGGUCGUGCCCGCUGGGGUCCUAUUCAGCUCGCGCGUGCUGGUGGGACCCACGUGUGGGGUAUGGAUGUCGGUGACGAUAUAUGGAUAAGGAUAUGGAAUAAAAAAUUGCUGCUAAAUCCUGCCAUCUUCUUUGGGCGCAAGUCGGGAUCUCCUUGCCUGCUGGAUCCCGCACGUUGCUUGAGUCACUGUCGGAUGGGCCCCGUUGGAUUUCUUUCUCGUUCGUUGUCGCCUGGCCGGUGGGGACAGACGGAGGGCAUUUAUUUGGCGUGACCGCGUGAGUGACUGGUUGAGCUCUUCUUGCCGUGCAAGCUGGGUGGUGUGUGCUCGGGCCUCGGGCUAAGGAAUUGACUAGUCAGCGUGCCCGGGGUGUUCGAUAGCCUUAAUGAAUUAACUGACUUUUUUUUUACGACUAAUUAGAAAACAUUAAACAUGAGAUAAUUACAAAACUAAUUACACAGAUGGAGGCUAAUUCGCGAGACGAAUCUAUUAAGCCUAAUUAAUCCAUCAUUAGCACACAUUUACUGUAGCAUCACAUUGUCAAAUCAUGGACUAAUUAGGUUUAAUAGAUUUAUCUCGCAAAUUAGCCUCCAUCUGUGCAAUUAAUUUUGUAAUUAGUCUAUAUUUAAUAUUCCUAAUUAAUAUCAACAUUCGAUGUGACGGGAAUUUUAGGAGAACUAAAGAGCCAAACGGAGCCUCACUGCUCCAUCAAAUUACUCGUAUUAUUCCAAAAAAAUGCUUAAAAAACCUAUGGGAACCAAUAUCAUCUUCAACAUCUAAAAAAAAUUAGCUUGACUUUUGCUCUCUUCUGCCAGUGAUGUAAAACACAAUAGUACCUAUGUAGCUUUCGUGUGCUGGAUAAGCAACAUGGUUUUAAAGUCCACUAAGCCCAACUGGAAAGAUUACAUUCAAUAUUUUCUGAGAAAUAGAUCAACAUUUAGAAAUAUUUUUAACAUUUUUGAAAAAAUAACUACUUUCAACAUUUUUCUUAAACUAUCCCAUCAUUUCAAUAGAAUGGAUUCAACAUCUACUAAAACCUAUAUCAACAUUCUGAAAAAAAUUGGUAUUCUUCUCCAGCGGCGGCAGCAUGCGCGGCGGCGGGGGCGACCUCUGGCGGCGUCGAGGGCCACACAUGCAACGGCUGGAGGCAGCGGUGCGUGCCCCCGCAGCGGUGGAGCUCGCCACAGCGACGCGUGGGAUCGACGGCAGCAGCAGGGAAGCGAUGCCCCCCGUCCGUGGUAGAGCCACCGCAUGCGCGCGCAGCCCCACACCUUGUGGCUGCAGUGGCGGAGCACAUGGGGCGGCAGCGCCGCGUGGCCAUAGGGACAGCAGAGCCCUAGCCGGGUUGGCGGGCACAAGGAGCAGCAUCGCUUCGGAGAGGAUGGCGGCGAUGCUCGAGAAAGGAAGACCAAGGCAACUGGAAACCCUAGGCUGAGCAAGAUCCAACCGGUGGAGCUCUUAGCACGAAUCUCAAACACCGGAAGACAUGUGACAUAUUGGUUUCCGGAAGCCAUAAUCCACGCAUGACCUAGGCUUAGUUGGUUUUUGCUUUCUUCUGCUAGACAUGUAAGAGCAUCUCUAAGAGUGGCUAAAAAAAUAGAGGUCCAAAAAAAUGAUUUUAGGAUAUUACCAAAAACUAUUGGGAGUAAAAACUACCAACUCCAAAUGUUCCAAAAAUUUAAUUCCAGAAUAGAUCUAAUUGCUGCCGCAUUAUCCAAUGUGGGCCCACCAUACCAACUGUACCUCCUCUAUCUACUUUUCGGGGGUGUUUGGAUCUUUAGUCCCGACUAAAAUUUAUGUCACAUCGAAUAUUUGAAGGCUAAUUAGGAGGACUAAACAUGAGCUAAUUAUAAAACUAAUUACACAAAUGGAGGCUAAUUCACGAGACGAAUCUAUUAAGUCUAAUUAAUCCAUCAUUAGCACAUGUUUACUGUAGCAUCACAUUGUCAAAUCAUGGACUAAUUAAGCUUAAUAUAUUCGUCUCGCAAAUUAGUCUCCAUCUGUGCAAUUAGUUUUGUAAUUAGUCUAUAUUUAAUACUUCUAAUUAGUAUCUAAACAUUCGAUGUGACAGAAAUUUUAGGAGCUACUAAAGAAACAAACACCCCCAACGGGCACAUCUCGUUGUUCUUAUUCCUGACUGAUCUGACCAUUCAAGCUGCUUGUAAUCUGUUCUCGAUGCUAGAUUCACAUUGGAUACACAGCUACGCAAAAGCCUGACGCAUUUGAGAAACAACUCUCCUCUGCUUGCUCCUGGCCUAGGGGAUGUUUGAAUACUGGUGCUAAACUUUAGCAGUUUUCGGAUACUAAUUAAGAAGACUAAACAUGAGCUAAUUAUAAAACUAAAUACAGAACCCCUGAGCUAAUUCGCGAGACGAAUCUAUUAAGCCGAAUUAAUCCACCAUUAGCAAAUGGUUACCGUAGCACCACGUUAUCAAAUCAUGGACUAAUUAGGCUUAAUAGAUUCAUCUCGCGAAUUAGACUCCAUCUGUGCAAUUAGUUUUGUAAUUAGCUUAUGUUUAAUACUCCUAAUUAGUAUCCAAACAUUCGAUGGGACAGAUGCUAACUUUAACCGGUGGUAUCCAAACACUCCGUAAGGAUACUUGCGUCCAUGUAAUUUCGUUCAAUUCAACAAACAUCUUUACUGUCGGAUUUAGAAAGCAUCUGCAUUGAAAGUUCUCAUUGGAAGUUGUCAUCGUGAGUUCAGCUAUGGAUUUCUCCUUCAUCUUCGACUUCCAGUUACCUCUCAUGGUGGAGAGAUGCGACGGAAGGUUGGGCGGUGGGAUUGGAUCGGAGCGGUGACGGGGCCAGGCGUCUUCUAGACCGCCAAGGAGCAAUAUGACGACACCUAAUGGGGAGAUGCAGGGCACCACACCGUGGCUGUCUGCACGAUUAGGGCGGAUGCAUGGGGCGUCGGCGUCAUUGUGGAGAUUCGGAUAGGCCAGCAGGCUGAAUUGCUGAAGGUAAAACAAUGCGUAGGACUAUGACCCUGUUUGUAUACGCUUUUCUGAAACUCGCUUAUCUGGCAAGCAAGCUUAUCUGAUAAGCCUGCUGCCUGGAGAAUCUGCUGUCUGAAUAAGUAGGGUGUUUGGCAAUCCUGAUUAUUUUGUGUCGAUUGUCUGUCUUGGUUGGUAAAUUGACCUGAAUACCCCUCAACACUUCACCGUUUCCUGUUUGCUCUGCGGCCUCUGCCCCUUUUGUCCCCAGUCCCCACGGCCACCAGGGUGGAGACGACGCGCACACAGCAGCAGAGCAGCUGGCGAUUGGCGGCGAGAAUGACGCCGGGACCGGGAAGCGCGUGUGUAGUGCAAGCGGCAGGGGCGACCGACGGUGGAGGGCGAGCCCAGGGGCGCCUCGUCGGUUGCAGGAAGGUGGGCGGCGAACGGGAGCCGGCAGCGGUCGUGGGAGUCGCGGGAGGCGGCGCCGGAGGAAGGGAGGCGGGCAGGGGCGGCCGGCGGCGGGGGCCAAGCCCAGGGGUGGCGCCAGUCGGCGGGCGCGAGGAGCGGACGGCAGGAGUCGGUGGGGGUAGCGGGGGUAAAAAUCGCGAUGCUUACCCGAGAAGCGCCCUUGAGCUCGCUUACUGGAUAAGCGGUGCCCCAAUUGUUUUUUGGAUUGUGGACUAAGCGGCUUAGGGGGUAAGCGAAAAAUAAGCUAGGUGUUUGGGUAGGCUUAUCGCUUAUUUCCACAGAUAAGCGGGAAAUAAGCGGAUACAAACAGGAUCUAUGGGAGGUGAAAUUACGCGGGAGGAAGAAAAAAAGCUGAAGGCCAUCGGGGAUUAGGAGUGUGACCUAGCGGCGGAAAUUUGGCUUGAAUGGCCGCUGGUAUUGGGCGCGCGAAAAGAUUGGGUACCGGUUUGGGCUACCGUUGGAGAGGGUUUUUUUUGUUUGCUCCCAAUAUUGGCUCGAAUGCUCUAACGGCAAAAAAGGGAGCCCGGCUAAAGGACACGGCCUCCGGCCGGCCCAGCAAGGGUAUUGGCGGCCCGGGUUCCGGAUGCAGCAAUGUAGCUUUGCGAUAGUGGGCCACAAUGCCAGCCGCACAACCUGCUAGAACCAGGAACCCUCGCGCAGCCUCGUCGCGUGCGUCCCCAUGGAGCCUCCGCAGGAGUCCGCCGCCGGUGGCCGCAAGCGGCGCCGGCGAGGAGGUUCCCGGAAUCGCGGGAAGCCUUCGUCAUCAUCGCAACAAGCGCCUCGGCCAGCGGUGGCGCCCCCACCGCCGUCCUCCCCUCCGGCGAAGCGGCGGCGCAAGGACGGCGCCGGCCAGGCCGCGGUCACGCCCAAGCGAGACAAUACCUCGAUAAAACUCGACAAGGUAACCUAUAUUACUUGGAUUGCAGAUUCCUAGGAGUUUAUGGCCCGGGGAGUAUUCAGGCAGCGGAGGGGACUAUGUAGACUUCGUCGCUUGCAGUUGCAAGCUUUGUUGAGCUGCUUAGUGCGAAUCUUUACAGUAGGUUGUGCUCGGUGAGAUGAUGGAUGUAUUGACGUUCGUGUAGGACGAGCAAUUCUUGGUAAUCUUUUUGUGUAUCUAAUUACUAUAUUUGGGAGCGCCCCAAUAGGCCAUUGUGCUUCGUCGAGUCUAGUGUAUUGCUCCAAUUCGCACAAUCACAUUUGGUGUACAUUUGUUGCUAAUUGAAAAAUCUAACAAAUGUUGCGAAGUCAGUAGGGGAUGUUAAAGAUGGCUUGAUAUUUGGCCUCAUGGGGUCUUCCUCCUGUUUCCUUCUUUGGUUGUUUUCUUUGAGCAAAUUAAUCAAUUUGUUGUUUGGUGACAUUUUAGAUGCGUGCAAGGUUAUAUGGUGGCCAUUUCAGAAUGCUAAACGAGACGCUGUACACUUGCAGGUUCACAUUCUACAUACCACACCUCUAUUUGAUUGUGUUGGAUGGCUUGAAUGCUAUACUUUCUGGACUGUAUAUAACAAUUUUAGACAACAGUUGGGCGUACGAAUUUGUAUGUUAAGAUAAUAUAGUUACAUGGUUUUGUUUCUACUAGCUCCUACUCUCUGUGCAAAUACUGAUAAUUAUCAUUCAUUACAGUGAUGGGGGCUAUGUAGACUAUCAUUGCCCUUGAUAUUUUCACUGUUUGUUGUGCCUUGGACUUGCCACUGUUAAAUAAAGCAUACUAUUCUGAAUUACUAAAAGGGCCUUUAACUCUUGGAAUUCAUAGAUAGCAGAGAUCUUUUCUCGCAUGUUUCAAAUUUUCACACGUGCUGUUUAUCUUUCCAGUGGGCAGGAUGCAUUUGACUACUUCCAAAAAGACCCUAGUCUUUUUGAUGUGGUAAGUUAUUUUUCUUCCCUGUUUUAAUACUGACGUCUGCUAAUACUAAAAGAAAAUUCCAUCUUGCCAUUGUUUCUAGCUAACAUAAAUUUGGGGUAGGUGUGGAUGCGCAUAAUUGAUCUCCUGAAAACUAUAAGUACAGUACUAGACUCAUUUUAUUUAUUUUGUUCUUUAACUUUUUAAUAUAAUUUGGUUUGCACAGUUCAUCAAGAAUUUCUUGCUGUGAUCAUUGUGCAAAAAGGAUUUGGCACACUCUGAGUCAAGGAACUAAUUAAUCACGUCCAUCAGAUUACAUGCUUGAAUUCACGUUACUCUCUUUUAGUAUCAUACAGGAUAUCAAGAACAGAUGUCACGUUGGCCAGAGCAGCCAGUAAAUGUAAUAAUCAAUUGGUUGAAGAGUCAUAAGACAUCGUGGACUGUUGCUGAUUUUGGCUGUGGUAAGAUUAAUCUUACAGCCCUGAAACUUAUGGCUUUUGCAAGUUUUUUUUCCCUCUUCCAUCUUUUUGUUUACCGCGUAAUUAUAAGAAUGCAAUUUACGCUUUGCAGGCAACGCAGCAGUUGCAAAAAAUGUGAAGAACAAGGUUUUCUCCAUUGAUCUUGUUUCAGAUGAUCCUUCAGUGAUUGCUUGUGAUAUGGCUCAUGUAAGCACUGACAACCUAAUAUCCUAAUACAUUUUGAUGCAUCAAUUGAGCAAAAAAUGCUUUAUGUAUUUUUUUUAAUAUGACAUAAUUGCAUCUGUGUCGUGUUCACUGACUUAUAGGAAAUUGAAUUGUCAGAUGACUCAAAUAAUCAGAAUGACAAAUCAUAUUGUUCAUUGUUCUUGUUGAUGAUUAUGAUCUAUGCCUUCACUUCAUCAAAUGAGUUCCUAUGAUUUUUACCAUUUCUCUUUUUGAAUAUUUUUUAAUUCCUAAUACUAGUAACAUGCAAAUGAAUUAAUUUAUGACAUAGAACUUCCCUAUUACAACAGGCUGUUCAAAGGGAUCUUCUGUUUUUCCAUCAAGUAUUCUGGUUUUCCCUUGUAUGAACCCAGGAAUAUUCAAACUGAAUAAAAUGGGUGCCAAACCUUCAAUUGGUGUUCAAAUCAUUAAUUCAACUAAACAUUUUUUCCCACCUCUGCAGACACCAUUGGAGUCGUCCUCUGUAGAUGUUGCAAUAUUUUGUCUUUCUUUGAUGGGGACCAACUAUCCAAAUUACUUGGAGGAAGCAAAUAGGGUUCUCAAGCCAAGGUCUGCUUAAAUCAUUAGCUGCAGCAGCUCUUACUGCAAAGGGUUUGUGCCUCCUGUUUUCUUUACUGAUAGAUUUGUUUAUGCAGUGGUUGGCUUGUUAUUGCUGAAGUGCGAAGUAGGCUAGAUCCAAAUAAUGGAGGCGCUGAUCCUGAAAAGUUCUCUAAAGCCAUCAUCCAGCUUGGCUUUUCCCUUGUUUCAAAGGUUUGUAUCUUUAGUAUUUACCUCAGCUGAGUUAUUGAGUUGAAUUAUCAUGAUGAGGUACCUGUAUAAAUUUCCUACGAGUACUAAAACAUAUGCAUUGGUUCCCUACUGACCCAAUCAGUCUACCCUCCGUGUAUGUAAGACCGAUCGGAUGACCCAUUCAUGAGCUGAUAAAAAAGUAACUCAAAUGCUUGCCUUGAAUUUCUUCAAUUUGAGACUUUUGUUCACUUGCAGUUGUUGGCUGAAAAUCGAUAUCUCCUGCUUACUGUAGAAUAAAUACAUUUCAUUAGCAAUGGAGAUCCAUUCCAUUCACUGUUUAUUUGCUCCUGGUUUAUUUUUAUUGCGUGCAUGAUGUCUGACACAAGGCGUGUGUUUUAGUAAAAACCAAGUGGCCAGCACUGUAUUAUUCAUGUAUGUUAGUCCUGCAGAAUGAAAAUAACUGGGUACCCCUAAAUAUAUGGUGCUGCUAUGUGGCUUCAGUGCAUAGAUUAAUAGCAGAAUAGCAGAUUAUGACUCUUAGAACUAUACCCAUUGCGUCUUUGCAAUGUGAUUCAGAAACUAAUCAGCUUGUUGACUACUCUCUUUGCGGAGCUGAUAUUGUAAUGGUGGUUGUGAAAUGCUUGCAUUGAUUUGUGAUUGCCAUGUUAAUGGGCUCGGAGUUUGUUCAGUCCCUUUCAUUUUGGCACCUUACAUAAUUUCUGAUAUAAAAUGCAUUUUGUAUUGAUAAAAUAUUUCAUGUUAGCUAAGCUUCAUUUGCUUGGAAAUAGAUUCGUUUGAUCAUGCUUUCUAAUUGGUUGCUGGUAUCCUUUCUUCAGGACAUGAAAAAUAAAAUGUUCGUUCUGUUCUACUUCAGGAAAAAGGUUAGUUGCAACUUUUGCUGAUUACUGUCGCGCCAUGAUUCGGCCUUCACGCUGAGCUCAGUGGCUUGCCAUGACCCUGCAGGAAAAGAGUAAAGUGGCAAAGAGAAUCGACUGGCCCCAGUUGAAAGCUUGCAUGUACAAACGACGAUGAUCUCAUAUCCGCCCGUAAAACUGUAGUUGCACUGGACCUCUUGAAAAGUUACUUGAACCGAUGCAUCUUGUCUAGAUUAGAAGGUCUCUAUUGCCAGGCUUUGACACCUCUGUUUCGUGUUUCGUCCUAUUCUCACAUUGGCCGUGUCUUUUGUGUAUUGGACCUCGCAAGUGUGAUGCGAUGUGAUCCGGAAGUAAUAAGUUUAUAAUUUGCCGUGUGCGGACCAGCGGACGAAUCGUCCGGUCAAAUUUUGAUGCGCUUGUUUUGGAAAUCUUGAGCGUUCUCUCAAAUUUUGGGUGCCGAUCCAGCGUCUACAGAAUCGUGCAAUGCAUCAAUGCAUGUAGGGGUUACGAGGACGGAUCGCAUGCAGGAAUGUGAUCCGAUAUCCCGAGCAACACAAGAUUGCGGUUCUCUCGUGAGGCCAUUUGUUCACCAUCCGGCAUCAGUUCAGCGCCAAAGAAACAGCACAGACGCCUCAUCUCUCAACUAAACCUACUUCGCAAUGCCCCCUCCCGUCGGGCGGCGCCGCCGCCGCGGGCGUGCUCCUCCUCCCGGUCUUUCUCCGGCGAGUCGACGACCCUGGAUCGACAUUAACCGUCCCAUGGGGGAGCUAAGAGCCACUCUAGGUGAGCAGCCAUCUUUCUCUCUCUCAAUCUCACCCAGUUAAGGAUGAUGAAUGGAAACCCUACACCGGAUGCUGGUUCGACUGCGGUGAAUCAGGCACCGGGGAGGGCCUUUUAGCCUCGGAUUCGGAUCCAUUCCAGUUCCAGGGCUGGCUCCACGCUUUUGAUAUUCGGAUGAACGAUUGGUCUGCAUGCAUCCUUUUUUGGACCGCGCUAACGCGCGACGCUCGGCGCGAGCGCGCGACCCCCCAGAUCAUGCCAAUACCCUUGAAAAAUCCAUGCUAAUGCUACCACGUGUCCACCAAUUAGUUUAGGAAAAACUAUCAUAGCGCAGGUGAGCAGAACGUCGCCAUUAAUGGCGUUAGUGUUGGAAAAUUGGUUUCAUUUUCUUCAAAUUGCCAUAACUCUAUCCUAAGAUGUACUUUUUAAAAUCUACUUUUUAAAAUCCGUUCGCACAUUUAGACCAUGUUUGGUUCUUUCCACUUUAGUCCAUGGACUAAAGCGUGUUUAGUUCAAGUGACUAAAAGUGACUAAAACCAUUAAAUGUUAUGACANNNNNNNNNNNNNNNNNNNNNNNNNNNNNNNNNNNNNNNNNNNNNNNNNNNNNNNNNNNNNNNNNNNNNNNNNNNNNNNNNNNNNNNNNNNNNNNNNNNNAUGGUGGCGAGGGGCUGGGCGGGAGGGUGGGUGGGAGAGAGAGGGGGCAAUAAAUGAGUGGCAGUGGGAGUCCAGAAUUGGUUUUAGGACCUUUUAGGAGGGGUGGGGGGACUACAAAGUUUUGAGCCUCCUAAAAGUUUCAGUCACCUUUUAGUCCGACUGUUUGGCUCUUUAGUCAGUUUUUAGUUAUCUUUUAGUCACUAAAAUUUUAGGAGGUGGUAACCAAACAGAGCGUUAUAUUUCUUUAGACGAGAUCUACAAAAUAAGAUCCACGAUCGAUAUAUUUUAAACAAGUUAUAUUGAUUGUAAGUAGUAAUUUAUGUACAAACCGUGUAGCAACUUAUGCAUAAACUUAUAUACAGAUUAAUAGACGACUAAGGGAUAAGGCUACCCACGGGUCCCUACCGACCAGGAUACUGGUUGGCCCUGACAAGUGGGCUCACCCGACCAUACCGUGUGAACCAAGGCAUGAAGAUGUGUGGAGCACAAGCUCGGAGGCCGUGCGAACGGAUUCUGCCCGGAUAUUGCAUGAUAUUUGUUGUAGUUCGACUUAGAUUGCUUUCCAUGUAACAACCGACUAGGAUUGGAUCCUAUUCGAUUGCAAUCCUAGGUCGUCAGCCUAUAUAAGGUGGCUAGGGACGCCCCCCGAGGGUACGGAAACUUAACCCAAUGCACUUGCAAUAAAAUCCACAAGAACACAUGACUAGCACUACAAUCCACCAGAACACAUGACGUAGGGUAUUACUCUUCGGAGGCCCGAACCUGUCUAAACCUUGCGUCACUGUGUUACCAUUCGAGUUCUUUAUCUUGCGAUAUUCUCCGCCUAUAAAUUUACCACUUGGGUAACCCCAUGGUGGACCGCCGGUCACUAAAUCCGACAUCGGAUUGCAAUGUAACAACCUAUGUAGAUGCAAUGUAUCAAAAUUUUACAACGAUUACAUAUAGCAACUUUUGUUGUAUGCUACAAAUUUAUAGAGGCAAAUGUAUCUAAGUUAUAUAAAGAUUGGAUAACAAAUUGUGUGUAAAAAUAUUAUGUAGUAUGUAGUAACUUAUAUGGAGAUAACGUGAUAACUUGUGUAGAUACAUAACAACUUAUAGAGGUACACGAUACGAGGAAGGGUAAAAUUAUUUUUGUAACAAUUUAUAUACAUAAUUUGUUGAUAGUUUUACAUACAAGUUGCUACACACUUAACACAUAGGUAUCUACUGUACAUUUAAUAUAAGUUGUUAGUUUAUAAAAAUUAUUUUAAAAUAUAUGUGGAUCUGUUACGAUGAAUACAAUGGUGCGAACGAAAUUGAAAAUGGACAUCUCACUAGAAAGUUAACGCAUUUUUUUAAAGCAAAACACGAAACAAAAUACGUGGGUUACGACACCUACCCCUAACCAGACUGUAGCAGGCUGUGCCCGAUAACGCAUAAAAAUUGAGAGGGCGGCGGUUGCUCGGGCCAAAUCAAAGAGGAUGGCGGUUUGCUCGUGGGGGUCUACUGGGCGAAUCAGUUGCGUGAUUGCACUCCAGCGCGACUGGUCGGCAGAUAGACUUUUCCUUUUUUUCUCGGUAAUCCAGCUUGCUUGAUUUUGCUUAAAUAAUCCUGUGUUCGCAGGUGAUAGCUUUGUGGAUAAUUGUGGGGUUGUCUUGCUGCUGUUUGAGAAGCCCACUGGCUUCACAAUUUUUUGUUUUUAUGGCAUCCACCUCUACAGACCACACGCACUAGAAGUAAUUUGAUCUUCCGUCAUUGGUUGUCUAACGAUGCACUUGCUUCCUAGCUCAAUCUCUUCAUCUAUGUUGACCUAAUAGGGGAUGUUUGGUAGCACUCCACUCCACUCCAAAAAAACAACUUUACUCUACUAACUCCACAAAACUUCCUGCCAAACACGUCCAACUCCACAAACUACGGCUCCAGAAAAAACGUGGAGCUAGGUGUCAGAUCAACAUGGAGCUAGGUGUCAGAUCCAUGUUUUUCCUGAGUACCUUAGGGGGUGCUCCAAAAAUACCAAUUUCAUAUCUCCUCGUGAAGUUGGAGGUUAUUUACACACCAUUACCACUGGUUACACAACUUACCUCUUUGUUUCUAAUUUUUUAAUCCACUUGGCCUGUCGCUGUUUCCUCCCUCUUGCUGCUCGGUAGGGCGGGCCUCCCACGGCACUGGUGCCCACCGGAGUUGCCUGUUGGACCGCGACGCCGCUGCAUCCGUUGAACCGCGCCGCCGCCGACCGCGGGACCCGCUGCUGCCACCCCUAGGGCCGCGCGCCCCUGCCCAUGGGAUUGAGCCGCUGCCGCACCCUAUGCUUCUGCUGUGCCGGGGGAUAAGCUCGACUGGGGCAGCUAUGAAUGAGGAGGUCGAUGUUGGCAGAGGAGAGUGAAGGAGAGAAAUUAAAGGUGACUGUCACACGAGUCCUAUUUACAAGGGUAUAAUAGACUUUUCACAACAAGACCUCCUGUUUCUAAAGCUGGAUACAUGUUUUUUUUGCCAAAUAUGUGGACAACUCUAAUUUUUUCUUGGAGUUGGUGGGGUGGAGCUGAGGUGGAGUGGAGCUAAAAAAUUUGAAGUGGAGUACUACCAAACACCCCUAAGUCUUAUUUUUUUUUAUCCUUGUCUCCAGAGUACGUGGAAAGGGCAAACGAUGUGAGUGGUCAUCUUCCCUUCUCAGUUUUACCACUUAUUUCCUCAGUUGCUCGUCGCACAAAAUUGAUACGAUCGACAUGUUUUAUCCUCGUUUAUCACCUUCCAGUUUGUAUCUACUGAAUUGAAAAUAGGUCUAGGCUGCCCUGACCGAUACAUUGCAUGGUAUUUGAUUAUUUGUUUCUUUUUGCCCCUGAGUGUGCUAAUAUCUGUUCAUUUCGUUUAUCAGGUAGUUUGGCUGAAGGAAUUUCAAACUUUUGACGACAAGUCCAGUGCCAUUGGUGUUGGUAGUGGUGUUUCCAGACAGCUUGCUGAGAUGAUCGUGAAGUGGCAUCGCCCCGGACAUACAUUGGUUGUUGGAAAGAGGUAAUAUAAAUCAAUCAUCGAAUCAAGCUUGGUGAGUAUAAAGCUCCUUGUUUGCUUAUACCUACGAUGAUGAACAUUUUGAGCGCAAUUUUUGGUUGACUUCUUUCAGGGAAUACCUUGCCUGCAUGACGAAAUUGUGAUGGAGCUAAUGUGGGGCAUGCAGCGUUUCAUGAACAGGUUGGUGCGCAAAGAAAAAUCAGAGCUGCCUAAUGAGGUCUGUGUCCCUAUGAGCGCGCACUUGGACUCCUAAAUUUUCACAAGCCUUGGAUGCAAUCUUUUCUGUUUGCCUCUGCAUUUUUCUUUCAGUGAUGAAACAGCACUCUUUGUAUCUAGGUAAAAGAGCAAAGUGUCGUGACUGCAUCCGCCUUAUUUAACUGUGAUGCCUUAGAGGAGAAAGAGUACCCAGCCUUGCGCACUUUUGGUCGCUACCUUAAGGAUGUGUCUGGCAUUGAAUCCAAGAAUUGGGGCGCUCUGAAACUUGCAACUGCUUUUAAGAUCAUAUGCACCCAUGAAAUUGGUGAUGCAGAUGAGGUAGAUCAUACUUGCUACUCCUUCCAUCCCAAAUUACUGUUCGUUUCGAUUUUUCUUGAUAUAUAACUUUUGCUACGUAUCUAGACAUAAUAUAUAUCUAGGUGUAUAGUAAAAGCUACGUAUUUAGAAAACCCAAAACGAAUAGUAAUUUGGGACGGAGGGAGUAGUAGGUAAAAAUUGUGUUCUCAGCUGCUGCUUGCUAUGCAUUUCAUUUACACGUAAUGGGAGAGUCUUGUCUCGUCUCUUGCAGAUGUUUUCAAAAGAUGUACAAUCAAAGUUGCUGAGAGAUGCAGAUGGUUACAGAGGUAAGAUCAUAAAUUAUGGAGCUUGUUUGAGGACGUACCAAGCAUUGGUCUCUGCCCAUCGAUGCAUGACUCAAAACAACGGUGUAUUGGCCUCCUUGGUUAAGAAAGCUGAGGAAGCUCACCGAGCUGAACUAGUGGAGAAACCUUGCAUGUACAAGCGACGGCGACCUCAUAUCCGCCAGUAGAACUGCUGUAGUUGCACUAAGAUAUCUUGAAAAGUUACGUUGAACUGAUGCAUCUUGUCCAGGUUAGGUCUCUGUAUGCCAGGUUUUCCCACCUCUGUUUCCUUUUUCAACCUACUCCCUCAUUACCUGUGCCUUUGUACUGGACCUCACAAGUCACAGGAUCACUUGACCUAGUGGCUGGUGCAAUGCGAUGUGAUCCAGAAGCAGUUUAUAAUUUGCCCAUUCUGAAAUAAUAUCGUGCAAAUUUCGUACACGGUCCAGUGGGGGAACGCCCUGAGCAUCUUUUUUUUAUUCUAGCUAGGGUUUGUUUGAGAAUGGAGGCUCUUGUUUAGGGAAAUCUCGAGCGUUCACUCCAACUGUGGGCGCCCAUCCAGCCUUUCUAGAGGAAAAUUCCUCCCUAUCUACGUCUGAAGCGGUGGUUCUAGAUGCAGGUCACUUUUGACUUGGGAGGCCGGAGAAAACGACCAGUGCUGCGAGUGACCGUUGCUCCCACCGCGUUUGGAACUUUGGGUUACGUCCGCGACCCGUUCGUCCAUCCGCCUGCCACCUCCUGCUUCAACCGUAAGCAAAGCUCUGCGGCUGAGGACGAGGACUCGAGGUCCGUUGUACAGUUGAUGACAGAGAUAAAUAAAUGGCCGCCAAGCUACAGCUGCAUUCAGUGACGUCAUCGGCAUAAGGAACCAAAUCCUUGGCCUUGAUGAGCAUGAGCAUCGGAUCCAGACGAGUGGAAGGAGAGAAAUACUCCAUUUAUUUCAAAUUAUAAGUUGUUUUAGUUUUUCUAAGUUUAGAAUUAUAUAUAUAUCUAGGUGCAUAGCAAAAUCUAUAAAUUUAGAAAAGUUAAAAGGACCUAUAAUAUAAUUUAGGAUGAAGGAAGUACGUGGCAUAUGCAAACCUGAAUUGGAAUGAAAAGAAUGCACGGGUGGUGCUUGGGCUUGCGGUCGAUGGGCUGGGAUCCAUAUGCUAAUAAAUUGCAAUUAGGCUGUGUUAUUAAUUGUGAUAUCAUAAUAAUGCCUUGCCAAUAUUAAUGUUUUAAAUAGUGGGAUAUAGCAUUUAAUCGGGAGAUAUGCUAAGCCGCUAUAGCCCGCUGUUUGGUACAAUAAUAUUAUGUUGGCAACUGUUGUAAACUAUUAUAGCGCCGAUGGCCCUACUAUUUAAGAUAGUAAGCAAUAUCGAUAAGCGUGAUAUGAAAUUAGCAAGAAGAUAUUAUUGUUUUUUUAGAAAAAAAAUAAGGAAAGGAAAAUGGACGCAAAAUAGAGUGGCGGCCAGACUUUUUCAGCUUAAUUAACCUUGAUUAUUUUGAACAAGGAUGUUCAUCUAAAAGCUAUUUACUACAUAUUUUUAAUUCAGUUAUUCAACAUGAGCUCGAAUGGUUAGCGGAGGUGGUUGUACCGAUAUGUGUUGACAUCAUUUGUAUUUUCUUAGUAGUGUGGCUAUUUCUUUCAGUAUUACUAGGUUAUGGUGGUAACUGUGUUUGAUAAUUUCAAUAUCUGCUGACAGAAUCCCUUGUCGACAUUUUCAGGGUAAUUACGCGCGAUUGCACAGGCAUGGGAUCGGAGCGCCACUAUCCGUACUACUUCGUACGAAACGUAGAACGUGUCCAUACUUCGUGCAAAACGCAAACUCUGGCUAGUCACAAACUCACAAACCGAGCAAGUACGAAAACAAGUCAAACAUUAAAAAAAACAAAAUAAACAAAUGCCCCACGAGCACCACCCUAAUCCCAAGAAAUCCGUCCGUGCUCUGCAUCCGCCAAGUGCCCCCUGUCAGACGCUCGGACCAGGCAUUAACAAACCGAUUAGCUCGACCAAGCCAUGAUUAGGCGCACGAAGGCAGAUCCCGCGUGCUGCUUCGCGCCACCUUCACUCUCGGUUCCUCGCACUCGCACACGGCACAUCCACAUCGAUCCGCUCCCUGCGACCGCACGUCGCCAUCGCUCGAUCGCCACGCCCUCUCUCUCUCUCUCUCUCUCUCUCUCUCUCUCUGGCUGGCCAGAUUCCAAUCAUGAGCGAGCAGAGGGUUACGUGUGCAGGGCCUGCCUCAACAUCAUAUCAUAUUGUUCAAGGCGCGCGCGGCGGUGAAUAUUUUUAUUGGUAGAGGCAGUGUCUAUUAGCUGAGCUCGAUCGUCUGGAGCCGAUGGGGUUGACGCUCACCCGAGCCAGGGGUUUUUUCGAUUAUCCUAUGGCGAGUCAACGAUCUCACCACGCGGGAGGAUAUUGAAAACAACUGUAGAGAAAAACAGUUUGCUUGCGUCGAAAAAAUGUAGGAGGAGUGCUACUUUGGAACAAGAAUAACUUGAGCGUGCAUGGUCCUGGCUAACCAUUUUCAUUUUCAUUGUCUUGUAAUUUGUAAAUUAUUUUAAAAAUGUUAUCAUCGAUGCGUUUUACAGAUUAAAAAUAUUAUUUGUAAUCUGGUGCGCCUGAGCUCAAUCGUCAUCUAUGAACACAAGAGUUUCCCAGCACGAAGAGAGAAGUACUACCAACAAUUUCCCCGAAUAGGAAGUUGUAAAUAUCGAUUGUGGAAAAUCUGGUGCCUAAUGGUCAAUUGUAGCUAAAUGGUGCUUUCUACAUUUUUUUUUAGACGCUCAAACACACAUGGUACUGCCAAAUAAGACAAUUAGUCGUUGUUAUCAUAAUAGUCUAUGUCCCCUCUUUGUUUGUUUUUCCCCCUCUAGCCAUAUCUUGAAAAAUAGUUUAAUCCCCUGAACCACGGGCCCGAUGAUUAAAGAUUAGGGAUGAUUAAAGAUUAGGGAAGCCAAUCUGAUCUGUUCGUUGGCAUGUUUGGACCUUUUGCACACCCAUCGUUUUCAAUCCCCAGUUUCGCGCACAUCUUGUGACACCAAAUUGCCAUUUCUACCAACACUGCUUCUACCCUAUCAAAUCCUAUUGUUUGUUUGCAUACUUAAGUGCUUGGUGACCUUGACCGCACGAAUCUGCAAUCCUUCACUAUUUAUUACAACCAAUUCCAGUAUGAAAAAAGAGAGGUUCCAUACCGGUAAAAUGUUGAAUCGGUCCUCCCAAGAAGUUAUCAUGUUUUGUACCAUAGAAACAUAGUAUCAUUUAACCACAUACUCCGCUGAUGUAGAAUAUUUAUUGUAUUUGAGCUCACACUACAUCUUCUAUAUUUUUUUUAGACCUGAGCAAAAUCAUUUUUUGCAGAAAUUCACUAAACCAGGCCGGCAUGUGUUGGUCCAAAUCGUGCCAAAUCUGCUAGUUAUAAAACUGCUUGACUUAGUAAUUUGCUUAUAUACUCACUCCGUCACAAAUUACUAUUCAUUUUUACUUUUGUAGAUACAUAACUUUUGCUACGUAUCUAGGUGCAUAGUAAAAGUUAUGAAUCUAUAAAAGCUAAAAUGAAUAGUAAUUUGGGAUGAAAAGAGUAUGUUUUAAAGAAAGUUAAUGAGAUAAAAUCUGUCUACCAUGUAUCACUCACUCUAACAAAUUCAAGGCAUGUUUGGUGAGAUAAAAUCUGUUUACUAGCUAUCACUCACACUCUAUAGCUAGCUACUCCCUCCGUCCUAAGUUACUAUUUAUUUUAACUUUUUUAAGAUGCAUCACUUACUUUUACUACGUAUUAACAAAUAAUAAUUUGGGGGCGGGGGGAGCAUUGGCUACUGUGGUUACUGUUGGAGACGCCUAACAAAUCUGCGGGAGGAAAAAUGGGAAAUCGGAGUACGGGGAAGAAGAGUCGCGGCAAGUCAAAUGCACUUCUUCCUUCAGUGUACGCUCCCUUCUCCCGUUUACCUCUCCCCCACUCUCUCGUGGCCGUGUUUCCUGGCGGCGACGGCUGGGCGAGACGCGCCGCCCAAGUCUUCGUCGGUCCCGUUGCCGGCGACGAGCACCCACCAGGUACGCCCUUCCUUUCCCUUCCCUUCUCUUCCCUUCUCGCUGUGCGAAACCGAGCUCCCCAAACCCUAUUGUAAGCUAUUUGUACUCGGAUCUCCUCUCCAGGCCUUCCCCAUCCCUUCCUCCCUCGCUCUCCCUCAGCCUUCCUUUCCUAGCGGCGACGACCCCGUGGCCAGUUCUUCGCCGGGCGCUUCGCCGCCGCCGAGCAUCCGACAGGUAUGCCCGCCCAUUCACUUCCCUUCCUGCUGUGCGAAAUCGAACCCCCAAAGCCUAAGGUGUACUAAUUCUCUUCGGAUCUGACCAUGUAUUUUACCUGGUAACUUCGAUAUUUUUGCAAAAGUAUCCGGCGUACAUGUGUACACCCAUGUCCUAUACGGCUAUGCUGGGUCCGCCCUGCUUGUGAUGCAAUGCCACGGGCAAUUCCUUUUCUAAUAUAGAUGGUAGAAAUGAGGGGAAAAAACAGUGGCUUGGUUUUAAAUUGCCGUAGUUUUGCGCCGGACUUGCAUUCAAACAGCUCGCUGGUUCAGUAUGGGUGGCCCUGCAUUGUCACUGUUUAUGGAAUUUUAUUAGGUUUCUAGUAGUUCGUUCUUUUAACUUCUCUUGCUGUGGUCAAGGUCCUAGCUGGUUCUUUUUCACUAGGAGCUCAGGGGAAACUAUUGUGGCGUGUGAGCAUGUUGUGGAAUUUAGUUGGAUACGCGCGAUCAUUCGAUUGCAUCCAUUUACGAUGACGUGUUCUAUUUUUGUACCUUUUCUACCAAACUUGUGAAUGAUUUGAAAGUAGAUUUUGUCGAUAGUGCACAGCCAUUUCCAGUGAGGUGUUCUUAACGUGUACCGAGCUGUUGUCUAUUCAUCAAAUUCUGCUUUUGGAAGGUACUGGAUUGUCGGUAUAAAUUUAUACCCAGUUGUCAUGUACACACUGUCACUUGAACAUAGGUUAUAAGGCACAACUUAGAAGAAGACCCAUAUAUUUGAUGAAUUCUACCUUCUUCUAGUAUCCAAAUGUACUGAUGUAUUAUGAACAACCCUGAUAGCUUCUAUUGGUACAGGUGUAAACUAUCCUGUGUAUUCGACAAAUUCUACCUUUUGAAUUUAUUGAAAACGAAAUAUAUAUACCUAAUGAGGUAUUCCACCAUCUGUUCCCACUAUUUACUUCUACCGUCUUCCAUUUCUUUUCUUGGAAUGUCACAAUUUGUAGAAUGCACGUGACCCUACCCAUUUCCUGUAAGGUGCUCUACUCGUGAGCUAUCCAACGUUGGAAUACUUUCUGAAAGUAAAUUUGUCGAAUUCGCAAAGUCUCAGCCUUUUUACCUAUAUGUUCCGUGAGGUUUUCUAUCUGUGCUUAUACCUUUCUAACAAACCUCGAGUACUUUCUAAAAGUUGGUCUUUUCUUUAAGUUUGCAGUGGGGUCGUGUGACCCCACAGGACCCAGAUCAGAUAAUUGCCAUCAAGGAUGGAAUCUGGGAGUUCGUUCUACGCUGGUGAAGGUCUCUCCAUCGAUCCUAAGUGGCUUAUUGACCCAAAGCUUCUCUUUGUUGGGCCGCGCAUCGGUGAGGGUGCACACGCAAAGGUCUAUGAGGGGAAGUAAGGCUCAUCUUUUUGAACUACCAUCUGCAAUUUUCUGAUCUUUGAUCGAUUUUCUUCUAGUUGAGCAUUUAUUUGAUGCUGGGAUUGGCAGGUACAAGAACCAAAAUGUUGCCAUCAAGGUUGUGCACAAAGGGGACACCCCUGAGGAGAUGACCAAGAGGGAGGGGAGGUUCUUGAGAGAGGUGACCAUGCUGUCAAGGGUGCAGCACAAGAAUCUCGUCAAGGUCUACUUUUGCAGCGUCAUGUCUAUUCUUUCCUCAUCAAGGAGAUGACCAAGAGAGAGGAGGUUUUUAAUGCAUUUGUGUACUGAAAACAAUGUCUGCUUGUUUAACAGUUUAUCGGAGCCUGCCUAGAACCUGUCAUGGUGGUGGUGACAGAGCUUCUAGUUGGUGGCUCAUUGCGGAAGUACUUGGUCAGUCUCAGGCCUAGGAGCCUUGAGCCCCGUGUAGCAGUGGGCUUUGCGUUGGACAUUGCCAGAGCUAUGGAAUGCUUGCAUGCACAUGGGAUCAUUCAUCGUGAUCUUAAGCCUGGUAAGACUUGUUUUUUUUUCGCGAUCUGAUCAUCUUGUGCUCUCUAUUAUUCACUGCUUAUUUGGUGAAUUUCUGCAAACUAUGGAUAAUACCGUUUUCUUUUCUCCAUGUUUACUGUGCAUGUGUCAUUAAUUCCUCUGGAAAAAUUAUUGACUACUUCUUGUUUCUAACAGUUGAUUAGUUAAUUUUAUAGUCUAAUAUUAAUCUUUAAAUGGCAUUUGCGUGGGUCUAGCUCAGGAUGGAAAUGUGCCAUAUAGUAACUUGCGGGAUGAGAAGCUUCUUCUCCUUGCACUAUCACAUGCUAUAUCUGACAAUAUUUGGCUUUGCUUACAUGUAAAGAAUCUAUAAUUUCGUGCUGGUGCUGAGUAAGUGAUGCGUAGUUUCCUUGGCAUGGUCGUAUAGGUUGCAUUGCUAAUUUUAUAUCUAGCACAUUCUUUGAAUAAUUUAAUAUGUUUUGUUUAAUUUUUAUGGUAAAUUCUUGCCAUUGCAUGUUAUUGAGAUUGCAGAAAGUGCCACAUAAUUCUUCUUUUAAAAAAGCUGUCUUUUUCAGUUUUGGUGACUAUAAAAACAGUGCCUCCUUUAGUUCUGUUGUAUAUUCUGAUAUGUUGAUUAUCAAGUUUUUUUCCCAUUAUGUACACCAUCUUAUUUUAUAAGUUGUGAUACGAUGCAUUUUUAUUUCUGCUACCACUAUUCCCUUCUAAGAUGAAGUCCAGAUGGUAAGUACCGUCAGCAUUGUAUACUCACUUUACCAUGGUUAUCCAAGGACCUUUUGUCCUGUGCUUGUUAUCAUUUUAUUGUAGUGUGAUAUAGGUUCUAUGGUGGAUCUUAAUAAUUCAUAAGAUUAUUAUGAUGCUGAUAUCAGGAAGCUUACUAAGUACCCAAAAUAAUGUUUUAACAAAACAAAAUGAUAUCUUCAUAGCAGUUCAAGGGUUUUCUUGGUGAGCCUCUGUUGCAGACACCUGUUUGAAGCUGUUGACUUUGAUGUGUUUGGAUGAAUUCAUAUGUGGAUGUACUCAAGUUUGAGUUUGUAAUGAUUCCUUAUAGAGAAGUUUAGUCAUCUUCAGUUAUGAUAGUCAUGCUUCAAGUGUGGAUUAUUUUGUAUGGGGAUUCCGACAGGCUAACAGCACAUGAUCGUGCUCAGUUCAGUACUUUGAUGUAUAAUGAAGCACUAUGCUGGCCACAAAUAUAGAUAAUGCUUGUAUAUCCAACUAGAUAGUUGAUGACUGGUCAUGGAUAUAGUUCUAUAGGUAGCCUCUACUGCAUAGUUAGUACUCCCUCCGUUGUUAAGUAUAUGGUGUUUAGGACAAGCUAAUUAGCUUGUCCUAAAUGUCAUAUUUAAAAACGGAGGGAGUAUUAAUAAAUUUUAGUUUUGGAUUUAGUUGGUAUAGUAUGCAACAACUUAAAGCUGCAAUUUGUGUUGUGAUUCUACUGUAUAAUUUAUCGACAAAACAUUUAGAAAAUUACUUGUGUCUGUAUCUCAGAUCAGAUAUGUUCGAUCCAACAAUGCAUAUUUUUAAUUAUUUGAAUUAUUGAAGCAUCAGUAGCAUAUUGUGGGAAACAGUUAGUUUUUAAGGACUUUUCUGUCUGUACAUUCAUCUUUUGGAGCUAAUCUUUUCUCUCAAGUCAUUCCUUAAUGAUCUGCCUGACACGUGUUUAUUCAGACAAAGUUGAUCUUGUGUCCAUUGUUUUCCCCCUUCCCUUUUUGCAGAAAAUUUGUUGCUGACUGCAGACCAGAGAACAGUUAAACUUGUCGAUCUUGGUUUGGCUAGAGAAGAGACAUUAACAGAGAUGAUGACUGCUGAGACAGGAACAUACCGUUGGAUGGCCCCUGAGGUUUCUAUUAUUCAUUCAUAUCUGUCAAAUUCGGGAUCCUUUGUUUUCUGUAUUAUUUUUGUUAAUGUAUCCUGGAAUGUCUCAACAGCUGUACAGCACAGUUACGUUGAGGCAUGGAGAAAAGAAGCAUUACAACCACAAAGUGGAUGUUUACAGCUUUGCAAUUGUGUUGUGGGAACUCCUACACAAUAGACUGCCCUUUGAGGGAAUGUCUAAUCUGCAAGCUGCAUACGCUGCUGCUUUCAAGGUAACAUCUGAUACUUUAAUCAUUAGCCAUUAUCUAAAAUAAUUGUUGGAGGGCGUCCCUGGAUUGUGUUUGCUUGUGUAUGUUUAUAUAGGCAUAUAUCUCACAUGGUGUUUCCAGUAUGUUUUAUCACAUGAAUUUCUUUUGUAUUUGACCAGAUGAAAGCCUUAUUUUCUGCAGAACAUCAGACCAAGUGCAGAUAACUUGCCUCAGGAGUUGUCAGAAAUACUAACAUCCUGCUGGAAGGAAGACCCAAACGACAGACCAAACUUUACCCAGAUAGUGCAAAUGCUCCUACAUUACCUAUCCACCCUCUCGCCACAAGAAACCUUGGCCCCUCGCCGCACAUUCAGUUCAGAGAACGCAAUCCUGCCUCCAGAAUCUCCCGGGACAAGCUCGCUAAUGCAUUCUCGGGGUGAUGACACACCAAAGGGCAAGAAGGAAGACAAGCCAAGGGGCUUAUUUUUCUGCUUCAGCGAGUGCUAUUAGAACAACCCCAACACUACUCAAGAAGCUGCAAAUACUGAAAGAAAACAUCACCCCCAGAUGCGCUGUGACAACCGAUCGAUCGAGUCUCAGCACAACCAUAGUCCAUACCCCCGAAGAAUGGCGGAAGUUGUAGUCGAACUGUUGUUUCUGCUAAUCAGGUCUCCCGCAUCGCUGACAUGUUGACAUAUCAGCAGGGUAAAUCGAGUAACCUUUUGACUCCAGAAUAGUAACGGUGGAAAUAGCUUAUCCCCCCUGUAUUUUCGGUGAACCAUGGUAUCAUGGAGUUACUGCUGCGCGCUUAGAUUGCCCGUCUCGCGCGCCAAUCGUAUAGAAAUAAACCAAUAAUUCGCAUUUUCAUCAGUCUCUCUGGUGCAAAGCCUGCAAAGGAUACUGGGAGCUGUCUGUUCUGUGUAGCACUUUGGUGUUCUUGCCCUGUCAGUGCUGUUAUGUUGGGAGUUCGAUCCCAGAUUCCCAGUAGAACUUAUGGUCCGGUCCUAUUCAGUGCCUUCUAUUUGGCAUGGUCGGACUUUAGGAUCCUUUUGUUUACGACGUCAUCAGUGUUCUUCUCAAUAUAACAGGGCAGGUCUGUCAGUGGUUUCUUUUUUUUCCUUCCCUUUUUUACUGCAGGACCGACCGGACUCUAGCUAGGAUCUGUGGACAUAACUGCAGUUUUAUGUGCAAGUCUGCAAUGUAGAUUACGAGGUGUGUACUUGAAUGAAAUCUGCAAGUUGUUUUGGGAGCCCAUUCCGUCCACGUCCGGCGAGGCGAGGGGCCGCCGGGCCCGGGGAGAAACAGCGGCGGACACGGACGUGAAGGGGGUCACGUCUGUCUGCCUGUGCCUGUGCGUCGCGGCCGUCGACGAAGAAUCUGCGGCCAGGCCACCCGGAUCAUGCGCCGCGGGCAUCGGAGAUUGACUAGGAAGGCUCUCCACCUCCUGCCCUGAAAGGCUGAAACACAGAACCAGUCAACCAGUGCGCCUAGGAGCAAUCUGCCAAUCUAUUUGUAGUCGAUACAACACAAUUCAUUAUCAAUCUCUGAAUAUCAAAUGACAUAAAAAAUCCUACUGCCCAUGUAUACAACUUCGGCUUGCGCGCGUGUACUUUCGGUAGUGUGUGACCAUGCCAUGCGCCAAAAGGGCUUAGCUAAAAUACUACGUUGCCGGUACUCCGUAGGAGAACACUGGUUUACUUAUAUUAUAGAAUAUGAUUCUGGGAGACAUUUUUAGCCUCUGGAGACUCGAGCGGUGUGACAACAUCGGGCGAGGCUUCACAGCACCGCAUGUCAGCAAGUGCUUCCUUCGUGUCCCGUGGAGCGCAGGAGGAAACGGAGCGGGGAUCUCAGCAGGUCUGUGCGUGUUCGUGGGAUCCGCACGGGCGGCAGCAUAUCCAACCAAACGGCUGCUCUCUCUUCGUGCGGGGCCUGGCCGCCUGGGCCAACCGGGUGCAUCUUGCCGAGCCUGCUGCGCGCGCGGGCUGGCUGGGUCCCUUUCCCCUUCCGGUUCCUUCCUCGCGGCUCAACUCGCGCGAGAGCGUGUUCGUGCACGAAGCACGGGAGGGCAGGCCGCAGGCGCGCAGGGCGAGUCUAGUUAUGGGCGAACAGCGCGGCCAGCUUUUUCUGCUGACGUUGUUCCCGGGCUUUGGACAGAGGUGGAUUGGAAGGAAGGAGAUUAGGUUUAAAAUGAACUAACUUCUUCCUCAGUACCUCCCAUUGCACCUCAAUCCACUUCCAAACAAGCCAGCAAUCCCUCUCUUUGUUAGGUAAGAGCUAGGGUAGCACAAUAGACCUGAUCAUUUGAAUCAGGUUGCGAUCGAUUUGCGUCGUGAUUGAUCUGUUUCCAAUUUUCACAUCAAUCUGUGCAGCUUGAACAACUGCUCGAAGAAAAUACGAAGAAAUGAGAGAAAUGAAGGGCGCACUGAAGAACAUGCAUGUGUUCUAACCCUGGCUGGUCUAGAUGGAGAAGCGAGGGCACUCACAACCCUCACAACCCUCCUACUAGGAUAGUUUUCAUAAUAUUAACGGAGUGUCAUGUUAGCAAUUUGAUGAUAUGGCAGUAUGGCAGUGUAGUUAUUGAGGAAAGAGGAGGACUCGGUUUCUCACGUGGGAAACGAACUAUACUCGCGCCCCAAAGCUCGUAGAAACCACCAAAAUCACGUUGGGCGAUUCUUCUCGUUUCCUUCCUCGUUUUGCCCCCCUCCUCCAGAUCUGCUGCGCGCGCCCCUCCUCCCCGCUCCGCCGCCGCGACCCACCCCCGCGCGCAUUGCCCCCUCUGCGACGGCGCGACCCACCCCCGCGCGUGCAUCGCCCGUCCCCAAGCCUUCAAUCAACCAGUGAGAACACACAUGACAUGUAACGUACUCCCUCUGUCCAGAAAAAAAUAUAGUGUUCUAGCAUUCUUCACACAAACCAAUAAAUAGAUAAAAUCACAUAUGCACUCCUACUUCAAAUAAUAUAUCAUCAUAUAUAAAACUCCUACUUCAAAUAAUAUAUCAUCGUAUAUAAAACUCCUACUUCAAAUAAUAUAUCAUCAUAUAUAUAAAACAAUAUUUUAAAUAGAAGACAAGAUCAAGCAUCCUUGCACUUAGCACUCACAACUUAAAUUGCUAUGUGCACGCACGCAACUAAGUGCAUGCUUAGAGUUGCAAUUUUUAUUUUACAAAUUUUGAAUCUUAACAAGUAGGACAACAAGAUACGUCCAAAAACUCAUCUCCACGAACGAGGAUGCAUGUACUGAUCGGGAUCGACGGUCGUAUCAUUGAUUUGCGCGCUCACCGAACGUACAGUUCGUUCUUCAUUGCGGCUAGCUGCACGUCUAGCUAGAUGCUCGAUCGGCUCCGAUCCGUCGGCCGGGUCAACCCUAGCAAGCAGACAUGCAUGGCUGUUGCGCACCAGCUGCUAGCCUGCUAGCUGCUUGCGGCGCGCGCAUGCACGACACUACGACAGGGCAGCACGCGAUGCAGUACGCGUGUACACCCAGUCGCCUAGAAACAACAGAACAGAACCCCGUAGACGCUGCUAGCGUGCAGCAAAGCUACGCGGUUGCAGCGCGCAUGCAUGGAUGUGGCUGUGGCUCCGAUCAACUCUAGCUGACCAGUAUGGCCAGCUUCCAGCUACUAGCACUCCUCUCUCCUCGAUCAGGUUCCUGUGCCUGCGUGUGUGAGAGCUUUUGUCUCUGGCUCCCUGCUCAUAAAUGGGGGCUCUCUGCUUGGCGCCUUCCCCUUGUUGUUAUCACAUGCCUGCAGGCAUGCUCCGUGCAGCCGUGCAGGUGCAGCGAUAUGCUGCUUGCUGCCGCAGCGCGGCACCGGGCAUUCCCGCCCACUGCAGACUGGCCGGUCACCUUCUUCUCCGAUCCCCGCUCUUCCUCUCCCUGCGUUGCCGCGCGCCGUGUGCACCGGGAACCGAGACGGGGGGACAAGGAGAUCAAGGCUCUGUCCCCGCAUGCACGAUCCAAAGGCUGCAAGGUGGAAGCCGGAAGCUCUGCAUGGUCGUCUCUGCCAUGCAAAAGGCUCUCUCUAGCUUUUUGUUUCUGCCCAGGCCCAGCCAGCUAUCGCCUAUAGUACCCCGAAAGCCUUUUCCAUACUCCUGUGUACUCCGGUUAAAAUCUUGUACAGUUGUACAGCUAUGGAGACACAAGUGACCGAAGGACAAGGAGACAAGGAGUACGUAAAACAAGCCAAAAUUUUCAGAAACGAACAGUGUCAGGACUCGGGACCUUCCAUGUACUGCCUUCUACUCUAUGCGUAGGAACAGUGUCGUCCUCCGGUGUCCGGUACUCCGGUCCUCCUCCCGUUUCUUGAAGAGAAACUCACACGGGAAAGGUAUAUACAUGUGACCCUAUUUCUCAGAAAACAAAAUAAAAAGAGAAAAGUUCUCCUACAUUCGCAUAACGCCACGAAUUCCCGUUACACCCCCCCCCCCCAUAAAUCCUACGGGAACGGUGUACGCGCGCGCGAUUCGUACGUGUGGCCGGCGGCGGCUACAUGCUACUCCGAUCGAUCCUACUGGCGCUGGUUUGGAAUGUGGUGGGGGAUCGGUGGGGGAAGUAAAUGUGGGGUAGUGGGAGCGAGGGCCUGCUAAUGAUGAGGCGAUUAAUUCCAUAAACAGCCUGCCGCGCGCGCAUUGGCCUCCCAGCAGCGGCUGGCCGGCUACCACUGCAGCUCCGACUCCGAUCCAUGGCGCGCGCUAGCUGCGUCCAUUCCAUAGCCGGAUAGCCCCGUCGGACGAAUUAUUACAGUAACAGAAGCACCUUCCUUCCACUAACCACCCGCACUUUAAUUGCGGGGUCGAGGCUGGCAGGGGCUUGCAUGCCUCGUUUCUGCAAAGAUGAUCGGGCAUGUUCAUGUCGCGCUUCGAUUCGUAUGCUUCGAGUUGGACUAUGCGUCCCUACGUGCAUUGAUCUCCGUGACUGCACGACCUUUUGCGUUGCGGAUUGAAUAUUAAAAUUGUACUUUGCCAAACAAAAGGUCAAACUUCAGCGGUAGUCCAAUUGGCCAAUUUGCUGUUUUGCAAACGGAUUCUUUUCUCAAUAUAGUACUUCACAGAAUCAUUUCGAAAGUCCUACAAACCUACUACUUUCAGACAUGAAAAUUGCGACAAAUAUGCCUGGAAUUUAAGACAUGAAACUACUACUUGCAAACUACUUCCAGUGAAACCUACUGUUUUUAGUGAUGGAGCACACUCACUUUGGUUUGAGUGUCUAGUACUUGCAUUCUCAAAUUAUUCUUUCAAUGGUAGUUAGGUACCUCUCAAAUAACUGUAUUAUGUUUAAAAAUGACUUUCUUGUAUCCCAUUUGCAAAGUAUAAUACAUUGUACUUAUGAUCCUCACUUUGAUUCCCGUCAAAAAGCCUUCUUUCAGCAUACAUGCUGUUGAAAAAAAGUUGACGGCGGCCUCGAUCUGAACCUUCAUCGCUUCAUCGCUGACGGCAAAUCCACAUCUUCACCGCUGACAAUGGCCUCAGCCCUAGAUCCGCGGGGCCAGCUUCGUUCGCGGCUUCUACCUGCACGCCUUCAGAUCUGUCAGCAGAAGUUGAUUUCUGGUAAUGCCAUUCUCCGUAUGAAAUUUCAUAUUUAUAUUUCCAAAAAUGACACAUAAGCAACAAUGUACCCCUAGAGCGUGCACCCUCCGCCUCGGUUGCCUCGUCGGCGGCCGCGCUCCUCGACACCGGUGAGAAAGGGACAUCCUGAGUGGCUCGAUUGAGAGCUCUGCCUCCACCGUGCAGCUCAAAAUUGAUGGUGCGAUCUAACUUGGCCGAGCACUAGUUCGAGCAAAUUUUCAGCAGUUUUGUGCUCCAAUUUCAUGCUUGGAUCGAAAACAUGAUCGGGAUGGUUGUACCCGAACAGCAUUUUACAGGUGCAAAAGAAAAAUCGAUAGUAUUCUUGUGCACAAGAUAUUACUAGGGGAAAUGUUUUACAGGUAAAAAAGAAUGCGAUAUUGCCAAACAGGGCCUUGGGCUGGUAUCGCCUUGCUCUAAAAAUGUUCAGCUAGGGGCAUCCACAACGGGUCGUUAAGGUGUGUCAAUAGCAGUCCAUGUCGGAGAGAGGAGAGGAGAGAGAGAAAACGUCGCUAGACGUAGCGACUCUCGCUAGCACGCAAAUCCACGCCGCGGGUCCCACGAACGCAGAUUCCACCCGUGCCGAGCGGGAGGGAGGCGGAGCCCGGCCUCGCAUGAUCCGAUGCAGGCUGCCUCCGGCGAUGGCGGGUGGAGCACGGCCGCAGCGGUGCCGCCACGGGCUGGGGGGACGGAGCUUGGCCGCCGCCGCCGAGCAGCCGGGUGGAGACGAGCUGCGCCGGUCGCCGUCUUUUUAGCACUGGCCCGACCGGUGCCGAGACCACCACGACGGUGGAGGUCGGCUGGGUGACGACGAUGGGGAGGGGAAGCCAGCGCAUGGAUGGCGAGGAGGUGGAGACGGCAACGGCGGAUGCGGCCAAGGUAGAGCGGGCAUGGCCGUCGGUCAUGCGCGGAGACGAGCAUGGCCGCCGGUGCGGGCGGGGGAGGANNNNNNNNNNNNNNNNNNNNNNNNNNNNNNNNNNNNNNNNNNNNNNNNNNNNNNNNNNNNNNNNNNNNNNNNNNNNNNNNNNNNNNNNNNNNNNNNNNNNNNNNNNNNNNNNNNNNNNNNNNNNNNNNNNNNNNNNNNNNNNNNNNNNNNNNNNNNNNNNNNNNNNNNNNNNNNNNNNNNNNNNNNNNNNNNNNNNNNNNNNNNNNNNNNNNNNNNNNNNNNNNNNNNNNNNNNNNNNNNNNNNNNNNNNNNNNNNNNNNNNNNNNNNNNNNNNNNNNNNNNNNNNNNNNNNNNNNNNNNNNNNNNNNNNNNNNNNNNNNNNNNNNNNNNNNNNNNNNNNNNNNNNNNNNNNNNNNNNNNNNNNNNNNNNNNNNNNNNNNNNNNNNNNNNNNNNNNNNNNNNNNNNNNNNNNNNNNNNNNNNNNNNNNNNNNNNNNNNNNNNNNNNNNNNNNNNNNNNNNNNNNNNNNNNNNNNNNNNNNNNNNNNNNNNNNNNNNNNNNNNNNNNNNNNNNNNNNNNNNNNNNNNNNNNNNNNNNNNNNNNNNNNNNNNNNNNNNNNNNNNNNNNNNNNNNNNNNNNNNNNNNNNNNNNNNNNNNNNNNNNNNNNNNNNNNNNNNNNNNNNNNNNNNNNNNNNNNNNNNNNNNNNNNNNNNNNNNNNNNNNNNNNNNNNNNNNNNNNNNNNNNNNNNNNNNNNNNNNNNNNNNNNNNNNNNNNNNNNNNNNNNNNNNNNNNNNNNNNNNNNNNNNNNNNNNNNNNNNNNNNNNNNNNNNNNNNNNNNNNNNNNNNNNNNNNNNNNNNNNNNNNNNNNNNNNNNNNNNNNNNNNNNNNNNNNNNNNNNNNNNNNNNNNNNNNNNNNNNNNNNNNNNNNNNNNNNNNNNNNNNNNNNNNNNNNNNNNNNNNNNNNNNNNNNNNNNNNNNNNNNNNNNNNNNNNNNNNNNNNNNNNNNNNNNNNNNNNNNNNNNNNNNNNNNNNNNNNNNNNNNNNNNNNNNNNNNNNNNNNNNNNNNNNNNNNNNNNNNNNNNNNNNNNNNNNNNNNNNNNNNNNNNNNNNNNNNNNNNNNNNNNNNNNNNNNNNNNNNNNNNNNNNNNNNNNNNNNNNNNNNNNNNNNNNNNNNNNNNNNNNNNNNNNNNNNNNNNNNNNNNNNNNNNNNNNNNNNNNNNNNNNNNNNNNNNNNNNNNNNNNNNNNNNNNNNNNNNNNNNNNNNNNNNNNNNNNNNNNNNNNNNNNNNNNNNNNNNNNNNNNNNNNNNNNNNNNGCCGCGAGACGACCGUGGGCGCAGAGGCGGAGCAGCCCGGCGGCAAUGUUUCUGGAUGAGACGGAGAGGAUGAGGAAAGUAAAAUAAAUUGGAACGCGGGACCCACAGGUGAGUGGCUUAAAGAUAAACUGUUGAAGCAGUGGCCGUUUGUGCUGUAUACAAGCUGAGGUGGCAAUGACACCUACUCCCUCCAUCUAGUUUGACAGGAAGUGUUAAAGUUUAACACUCUACUUUUAACACAUUUUUAUCACAUUACCUCCCAAACACAUGUGUUAAAAGGGAUGUGUUAAAAGUUUAACACUCACAAUUUCAUAAACACCUCGAGGGGGUGUUAAAAGUUGUUAAACUUGUUAAAAAUAUCCCCCUCUCGACUUUUUUCCACCAUUGCCCCCUUUUCUCUCCUCCUUCUCUCUCCGCCGGCCAUAAAUGAGGGGGUAAUGUAGUCAUUUUCCACUAAAGGUGUUAAAGUUUAACACACCAUCCAAACAUCUAAUGUGUUAAACUUUAGCACUCCAUUUGAGAGUGUUAAAACUUUAAAACUAGUUAAACUUUAACACAGGGUAUCCAAAUAGGCCCAAAGAGUAUUCCUAUAACCUUCAGACAAUCCAACAAAAGCUCUCAUAAUAACUUUUGAUUCAGUUAACGAAACGAUCACUUACUUCCACAAUCGAUGCCCGAGUCAAAUUCACUAAAUAAGGAAGGCUAAUAGGUCCGACAAUUAUUGCAAGCGUGCCUGCAUAAUUAAUUCUACUCGGUAAUCCAUCCUAUUAAGAAGAGUUAUUAUUAGGAUACUUUGAACUUUUAGCAUUGCUAUUAUCUUGUCUAAAAUUUUCUAAAUAAAUAGUUUUCGUGGGAUGGUGGGGUAGGCAUUAUAGAGAGCAGCUCAUGUUAGCCAUCGCGGGUGCGUUUUGCGGACAAUGUUGAAUAACCAUCACUUUGGCCCCGGAGAACAUCAGAUUCUCAAAAUCCAAAAUCCAGAAUCUGGAUUGCCCUCCAAACAUGACAGAUUCUAAUCCAGAUUCUACAAUCUAGAUUUUGGAUUUUGAGAAUCCUAGGAGCUGCUCAAAAGUUGAUUCUACCAGAUUUUGCAUGCAUAUUUUACCAUUUUGCCCAGCAACCUUCUAGAUAAUUAUCCAAUCUGCCAUUGUUCACUCUUUUGGGUAGCAAGGGCAUAAAAGACAUCUACUAUACAAUCAGAUUUUGGAAUUUAUGAUCCAAACAACACCGUCCAGAUUUUACUUAGAAUCUAGAUUCUGAAAAUCCAUCUAAAAUCUAGAUUUUCAAAAUCCACAACUGGAUCCAAACGGGGCCUUCACCACAGCAUAAGCACAGGCGCCACCCGCCCCAGGCCCCGUGGCAAUGGACCAUGCCACCGUCUCGGUGCAUGAGCACUUGAGCAGCCGCGCCUCUCUAGCUUCCCCUCUAUAAGUAGCGCACGCACUCCACACCGAUACCCAGUUCCCCAAACAUACUCCUCACUCGGCCAGCAGCCGCAACGCCACCGAGCUACCCCGAGUCCCGACCGACCAGUUCGCUUGCGCAGCGCUCCGCGUCCGGCCAUGGAGGACGCGACCAACGCGCACCUCUACGCCCACGCUCACCUCCACCGAAGCAAGCGCCCCUCUCCGGCCGCCUUCAAGGAGGAGGACGGCGACUGCGACGCGCUCCACAAGGGGGCGCGGUACCGCGGCGUGCGGCGCCGGCCGUGGGGCCGUUUCGCGGCGGAGAUCCGCGACCCCGCGUCCAGGGAGCGGCGGUGGCUCGGCACCUUCGACACCGCCGAGCAGGCGGCUUGCGCCUACGACGUUGCCGCGCGCGCUAUGCGCGGCAGCAAGGCGCGGACAAACUUCCCCGUGCACGCCGCCGCGGGGUUCUGGCCGUGGGGCGCGCCGCCGCAGCCGGCGCACACGCUCAACCCCUUCCUCCUGCACAACCUCAUCAUGAGCUCCUCCCACCACGGCUUCCGCCUCCUCCACCAAGCGGGCCACGGCCACGUCGUCAACUCCUCCGCGCCCUCCAAGCCGCCGGCGCCGGUCGCCGCGGCCAUACCAGCGCCGUCCCCUGUCGCCCCGCCUCCCAGUGAUCUGGACGACGAGGACGUCGACGACUGGGCCGGCCUCAUGCGGGGCGAGCCCGCGGACGCCGGGCUGCUGCAGGACGCGCUGCACGGCUUCUACCCUGCUGGCACUCGCCCGCGCGGCGGCGCCAGCCGCAGCCUUUCCGCUUCCGGCGCCGACGCCAGGGCGGCCGCCGCAGAUGUGCCGGUAAAGCAGGAGAGGUACGACGCGUUCGUCGACAUCGACGGCGAGGAGGGCGGCGAGUACCCGAUGAUGCCGCAGGGUCUGCUCGGCGACGUGAUCCAGUACCCGGCGUUCAUGGAGGUCGUGGCCGCGCCGUCCGCCCCCACGCGCCGCGGCCGCUGGGGCUGAUGGCUCCGGCGCACGCGCGUUGCGUCCAUGCAUGCGUGCAUGGAUGGCGUCAUGGCGCGGGUGUGGCCGAGGGGAGCAUGAAAUGGAGGAUUUGGUGCUUUUGGGGACGAUUGCUUGCUUGAUUCCAUGGCGGCGGCUGCCUAAUCAAUCAUCUACUACUCAUCUUAGGUUUUGCUAGCGAGCUAGUAGAUCGACAUGGCGUGCGUGGGUGCGUGGUGGUGUGUGAUCUGUAAUUGUUCAACUAGGAAGGAUUUGUGUUGGUGAUUGCAUGGAAUCAAAGCUAGCUUGUUCUCGGUGGAUUUCGACAUGGCUCAUCAUGCAUGUUCUCGGUUUCCUACAGGCGUGUUGCGGUGUUGGGAUCGAGCUCCUGUAUUUUCAUUUUUCCGUUUUUUAAAUCUUCGAGAAUGCUUUUGGUCAGAAGCGUUACAUCGACCGCAAAAUGAAUUGUUUUGGCCGGUUAGCGCGCUGCAUGCUUACAUGAUGAAUCGGUUGCGCGAAUGAGCUGAGCAUGAUCGCGUGCGAGGCAUGAAAUCUGACUUGGGUGUGGAUUUUAUUUUGGGUCCGCAUGGAGAUGAAAUUGCAAAUGUAUAUAAUAUACUCUCUCCGUUCUAGACGAAUAUACCCUAGUUAAUGGCAAUUGUAGAUAAUAAAAGUUAAUUUAAGUAAUAAUUCACCAAUUAGUCACGUCUCUUGUCAAUUUAAAAAAAAAAGCAAUCUUCCAAAUAUGUUUAUAACACCUUGUAUUUGAGGACACAUUGCCGUGGAAAGCGCCUUCAGUACUGGUUCCUAACCACCUUUAGUACCAAGUAGCAAUAACCUUUAGUACCAUUGUGCAAUCGAUAUUGCUAUUUCGCUACUAAAGGGAGGCCUUUAGUACCGGGUUAAAUAACAGGUACUAAAGGGGUAUUAAAAAAUAAAAAAAAUAAAUUCCACCGGCCCGAGUCACACCCCGUUGGCUUGAUCGUUCGAGCGUGAGCCCGAGCUGCACCCGCCUGAGCCCGAGCUGCACCCCGCUGGCCCGACCGCUCGAGCCACACCCCGCCACCGCCGCUCCAUCCGCUCGGCCACCGGCGCGCCCGUGUCUCACCGCCGCUCCAUCCAGUCGCGCCGAGCCCACUAGCCGCGGCCCCUCCGUUGCCACCGCCGCUCUCUGAUCUCGUCAUCGUCGCCGCCGCCACCCUGUUGCGCCGAUCCCGCUAGUUGUGGCCACGCCUGGCCCCGCCGCUGCGCCUCGCCUCAGGCACAAGGUGAGGGGCGAGCGGAGGGGGGAGGAGAGGGGAGGCCGGGGAGGGAGGGAGAGGGCCGAUGCUGAUAGAGGAGGAGAGGGGAGGGGGAGGAGGAGGGGGAGGGAGGGGGCCGGUGCGGAUAAGGUUUGCACGGGGAGGGUAGAGGAUAAGGCUACGCUUUUAGUACCGGAUGCAGGCUUCACCCGGUACUAAACUAAAGGUCACUGUUUAGUACUGAGUGAAGCCUUCACCUGGUAUUAAAGACUCUCAGGCACAUUAGUACUAGUUGGAGACUUCAACUAGUACUAAUGAGUGACCUUUAGUACGGGGUGAAGCCUCCACCCGGUACUAAAGGGGUCACGGGAGGCUCCUCGGGACUGGCCGUUAGGCUCGGUGCUAAUGCUCACAUUAGUACCGCGCCAAAAUGCAACCAGUACUGAGCCUAAGGACGAAUGUUGAGUGUCCAGUAGUGACAAAUUUUAAACGUUUUGAUGUCUUGUAUUACAGAACGGAGAGUAUGUUCUUUUUUUUAAAAGCGUAAUAGCUAUUUUUAAUUUUUAUCCCUUAUAAGGCUGACCGUUUUAGUCCUCAAAACUUUUAUUUUGGGCUCAGUCCUGUCCCUCGUCAUUCGUAGCAUGCCAGCCACAUGUCAUGCCUCGUCAACAAAUUGUCAUCGGGUUUCAUUUUGGGCUUGCAGCUUUUCUGAAAUUGAGUGUUUAUGGGAUCGAUUUGUAUCAUGAUUGUGCUAUUUUUUCAAUUUUCACAUCAAUUUGGACAGCUUGAACAAUUGCUUGAAGAGUCGAAGAACAUACCUUGAAAUGAGAGAAACGAGGGGGCAAUAAAGAACAUACAUGUGUUCUAGAUGGGAGAAAUGAGGAUGGCAAAAGGGUCAACUCACACGUUUGCUGAAUCAGCUAAGUGGAUACUUUGCUGACGAGGUUUGACACGUGGCAUGUGACGUAGGAUGAGGAAUGAGAUUAUUCCCCAAAAUAAAAAUUUGAGGAUUAAAACGGCUACUUUGAUAGUUAAAUUGAGCCUCCGGCGAUUGUUGAUGAACGGAAAUGGCCAUUCCGCCUUUUUGAAAGACCAUACGGUGGAUGUUCAAUGCUUAGUUCAGUAUGUUUUUCUUUGGAGUCAGUUAACUCACUGAUAAAAAUCUUGUGGUACAGAAACGCCGCCUUUUAUGAGUAUGGGAUGCCUAAUUUUGCAUUUUGUAGUACUUCAUAAUCGCCAUUUAAUUUGUAACCAAAGGAAUUAAGCUACUACCAUAUAUAAAUGCUUUGAGCAUCUUCAACAGUCCCGUUAUAUCUGGCCCCAUUAUGCAUUCCCCAUAUAAUUUGUACUACCCAAUAUCUUACCUUGACAAGUGGACCAAUGCAUUUUUUUUUCUCUUUUCCUCUCUCUCUCUCUUCUUCUACCAGCUGAACCCGUUUGAAGAGCGAAAUGUCAAAACUCCCAACCGGAAAGGCAGAAACCCGAUGCGACCGGCGCUGUCGGCUCAAGCCACUGCCGCUGCCGGUGCGCGCCUCGAUCCGGCGUCCAUCUCAUUCUCAUUCCGUCCCUCCCGCGUGCACGGCUAGCCAGAAGAAGCGUGCGCACUGCGCAGGCAGCCGCGGGCGAUAAAUUUCUUGUCCCCUGCGGGCCGCGGCGCGGACUACGGAGUUGGUGCCCGGCGGAAAAGUGGCCAGCAGCCGAAUCCGCUGCCGGUGCCGAUCGCCGGCCGGCCGCCGGGUUAGAAAAAAAAAACAAACCUACGGCCGGCCGGCUACGGUUGGGUCAACAGUGUUUCGGGAAAGGGGAAGGGCAGGCGAUGGGACAGGCAGCAGGCGUCCCCGUGUCUCCGCGCGCCUCUCCCCGUCGAUCGGCCGGCUCGGACGGAGUGCGUCUGAUGGCGGCGGCGAUGUGAAAAGUUCUGUGGGAGUUAAGGCUUUGUCGGUGAAAAGUUCAGUUGUGCAGCCUGCCCGGCUGCUCCGCUCCGAUCCACCUUACCCCAACGCCAACGUGAACAGCGAGUGCAGUUCCAGACAAGACGCUAGGCUGUUCCGGGCAGCCAAGUUUUCUACCCGUCCGUGAGGAAGUAACGACGACACCAAAAGCUUCCACAGUCCAGUCGAUGGCCAUCACAAAUCAUGAAAAUCAAACAACAGGCAGGCCUCAAGCGCUACGCUAAAGAUUAGCCACGGCGAGCAGCCUAUUCGUGUGUAGUGUAGCACAGCUUUGUGACCUCUUCUUCCCAGCGAGACCCCGACGGCAGACGACCCCGCGUGCCUGCCGCCCGCAACCGGCAACCGCAAAGCAUGCGAUGCAGCAGUGCUGCACCUGCACCUCAGCCCUCACUCCUCAGCGCGUGCGUGGGCGGCACGGGCAGUGCACGUCUUUUCCUGUCUCCCGCCGUACGCGGACGUAAAAGGGCAUGCGCGUUCUGACUUCUGACGUGAUCGAGAAGGGCAUGCAGCUUCCCGGCCGGCCGGCCGGGCCCCGCACCGCACGUACACGGUACAGCCAAAACCCCCAUCGGCCCUUCCCUCCGCGCGCGCCGGCCCGGGAACAGGACUGAGGCAGGAGAGCGAGGCCACCGCCGCCACCGGAGGCCCGGGCGCACGUCCCUCCUCCGUCCCGACGACGUGCGCGCCCGGCCGCCUUCCCGUGCCGGCCGUCUGUCCGGAGCAUAUCCAGCGUCGCCGGCCAAAUCUCAGAAUGCUAGAAUAGUGAAAGGUCAGUUCGUGCAACGCAUGCUUGGACUGAUGAACAGAAAUCACGUCGGUCGUGUACGGAGGAUCGGGCAGGGAAGCAGGGACGGAGGCAGCAGCAGCGGAAUUUGAUGCCCCGAAUCAUGGCGGAGGAUUUUUGCCGCCGGCAAUGCAGACAGAGGAGAAAUGCCUUUUUGUGCUGGCGGCACCUAGCCCUCCAUCUUGCAUCAGUCCGCGUGUUUUAUUAUCUCAUUCAACUGUAUUUCAGGUGUCUUUGAUUUUUUUCAAUGUAUAUGACCCUGAGAAAAAAAUCUUAUAAAAUUGAUAUGACAUAAAGUAACAUCGAGUACCGGUGCAAAGGACAAAAGUACAUCUUUGGAUGCAUGUGUCCAUAUUUUCUAAAAGCAAGUGGCCAAUUUCUUAACCUCACACCACACGUGAUGCUCUGUUCCUGUCUGGCAACUAGUUUAAAAAGUAACCGUUGCACAUGACAUAUAAUAAUAUUUUACAUGAAUUAUCCUUUUUAACCUAUUUACGAUCCUAUUGAAACUCCAUUCACAUACAAGGUUACGCACAUACAUGGUGUGUACUGCAUAUGCCCUAACCAUCCUGUUUAGAGUACACUAGAAGUGCAACAAAACUUUCACCUAUGUACACCAUAUGUACAUUAUUUUUUGAUGGACGGUAGAAGAAUACAUUUGAUGAACAACAGAUGAAAAUGAACAGUAGACGAACACGAUAAGCGCAUGAACAUAAGAACACGUAGGUACUGCUACAUCACCACCGUCCCAAAUCUCUUGAAUCUGUAUAGCACGAAGGGAAAAAAGAACACACAUGAUUCGAUCGGAAUAAAAAAGAGAAACAAAAAGCAGCAAGAGGCAGAAAAAGAGAGAGAAAAUGAAAAACAAUAAUCGACCACAUUAAAAGGAAAAACCAGCUAUCUUCGCUAAGCGAAGAAAAAGGAAGGAAAAAAAGAAACUAAGAACAGCUCCGGGUUGCGGCAUGCCUCUGGUAACCGCACGUGCUCACUGGCUGCGCUGGUUGUGGCCCACCACCGCGUCAGGCAGGUCGCCUGGGGCCACGUGCCGCCGUGCAACGCAAGGGGCAGUGCAGCUGCACCCCCGCGCUCGCCUCGCAUGAUGCGCCGUGUACGAUGUGGCCUUGAGCGCGCGUGCCGCACCCGGCUUCACGCUGCGGCGGCGGACCUGCACCAUGGCGGACUCGACGCAGCCUGGCUCCGCGACACCUCGGCGGUGGGGGACCUGUGUCGUGUGGAGCUCAGGCCGUCGCGCGAGGAGUACCCCUGGUGCCGGCCAAGUUCGGGCUUGCCACGACCCUCGUCGCGUCACUCGCCCAUGCCGGUGUCGGGAGCAUGGUCCUGCGCGGGCGGAACAACGUAGGCGGAAGGAAGCCAACGGGUCGCCGUGGACGCGGGGCCGCGAUGGAGCGUGGCGACGGCUACCCGACCGGGGCGCAAGAAGCCGUGGGCACGAGCGCUGGAGCUGCUGCUCGCAAGUCCACGCCUUUAUCCUGGCCGUGCCGGUGCCAGGUAGUGUCGCCGCCGACGCGCGCCGCCGGAUCCAGGUCCCUCACGCCCGCCGCCGCAAGAUCCGGCCGCCGGUGGUCUGUGCGCCGCUAGGUGCCGUCCUGGAUGCCUGAUGCCACUGCCAGGGCGAGGUCGGGGGCGCUCGUGGCCCACGCUGCUGCGGCCGGUCACCAUUGGCCAAGCCUACGCCAAUCCCCUGCGUGGAGCUUGGCGGGGUGGCGCGCAGCUGCUCGGCCAGUGGGCUCUGUUGCGGGCCUCCAGUGGAUGGCCGGCCCCUGCGCUCGUGUCAGCUGUGGUGCCAGCAGCCUCUAGCUCCUAGCGGCCGGACACUCACGCGCUCGGAUCCGGUGACCUAGCAUUGCGCCGCGUCGACCAGCGGCGGCCCGCGCCCCAUCGCCCCCGCACCUUGCCACCUCGAUUACAACAACGGCAGCCACGACCUGGCCGUGCCCCCCGCCACCGCCAGUGUUCCUCAGUCCGGCAACUGCGCACCUCAUAUCCAGAUCUGAGAGAGGAGAGAGGGAUGGGGGAGAGAAAGCUCUUGGUUUUCAAAUGAAUUCAAAAUUAGGUAGAUUGAUAUUUACCGUGAAGGGGAGAGAGAUUCUGGACAUGUUAUGUACACAAUCCUUAUCCCCUGCUCCCCCUCAUGCGGACACUAUAUGUACAGGAUACGGUGUGACAUAAAGUGGUCAUACGAAUGGGACAUAAUCUUUGCACAUCUGAACACGAGCACGGUGCGCAUUUCGAAUUCAGGUUGGGAUAACAAUCCUACGGUUUGGAUAGAACCUAUCCUGAUUGCCUUCCAUACAUAGCCCUGUUUGUCAUGGCUCCAGCUCUGGGUGGAGCUGCUCUACUCCAAAACUCCAGGUAGAGUCAGCUCCACUCCAAAACUCCAGAAAUAAAAUGGGGUGUUUGGCUAGAUGGGUACUCUCAGCUCCAAAAAAAAUCAAUUUCAGUGUUAAUUGCCAUUGUUGCCUCCAAUUCAGAUCCCACUUGUCGUCCUCUCCUCCUCUUUUCUUCCUCCUUUCUUUUUCCUCUCUCUGCCAUUGCCCACUGGUUACCCGAAGGAGGAGGAGGGGAAGGCACCAACAGGCGGGGCGGGCGGCGGCGGGUGCGGGCGGCGGGGGGUGGGGCGGGCGGCGGUGGGUGCGGGCGGCGGCGGGGCUCGAGCGGGCGGCGGAGGGUGCAGCCGGCGGUGUGGCUCGGGCGGGCGGCGGUGGGGGCGGCCGGUGGGGCUCGGGCGGGCGGCGGUGGGUGCGGCCGGCGGCGGGGCUAGAGCGGGCGGCGGCGGGGCUCGGGCGGGCCGCGGGGGGUGUGGCCGGCGGCGGUGGGGGCGGCCGGCGGUGGGGCUCCAAGGCCGGAGCGCGCGGGACGGAGGGGCCACGACGGCCGGUGGCAGGAGCGACGGGCGGCGCUAGCGCGGUGGAGACCGGUGGAGACGAGCGCGUGGAGUCUCGGAGGAAAAUAGAACGAACCGUUUUUUGUGGCAUUGGUGGGUAAUUAUCCACCAACUCCAUGAGGAGGUUCAAAAGAGUGGUUUCUGGAGUAGCAAAAGAGGUGUUCCAAAACUCCACCUCCAUUUGCCUUACAGCUCCAUGGAGCUGGCAACUCCAUGGAGUUUUGGAGUUGGGGUGUUUGGCUGAAUUUUUUGAUGGAGUUGCUGGAGUUUAGGAGCGGAGCUGUACCAAACAGGACCAUAAUUCCAGGCAGAGCAGGAGAUCUGGAACCGGGAGGCCACGCCAGAUGCACUACUACUACUGUACAGUACAGGUCUCCGUCUCCUCCCAAACUCUACACCCUACAGUGCUCUGACAGGUAUAGUAUAUUCGUGAGCUGCGAAUGAACAGGCUUGUCCUGCAACUCGAUUGCUGAAUUUUGUUAGGAUUUUGUUAACCGCUCCCGUGGCCUUUUACCUCGGAAGUUUUUUUUUUCAACCGUCCAUCAAUAUGAUCACCAUCUGUCCUGCAGUGAUCUUGUAUUUUCAUUUCCUAGAAUUUUGCGAUGGGCCGCUCUAGCUACGCUCGAUUCGCGUUGCCUAAACUCUACUACUCCAAAGUGUUAGUAAUUCGAGCCUUCUACCUUAGAAGUUCCAGUGCUACUCCUCAAGAGCUACUACAGGGAAUUCCAUUGCAACGCCUGGAACAAAACUGUCGAGCAAUGUAAAACGCUGCAUAAUACUCGUUCAAAGCUCCUGCAAACUACUCGUAGCAAGUAGUCCACGGCCAUGCGGGGGUUGUUGCUCUAACAAUUUGUUCGUCAGGGAAAAUCCGGGCUGGACAAAGAUUCUACUGGUAUGAUCCCGGAAAGCUGCUCGCUGGCCUGGCCUGGCCUAGCUCUCGGUCAGAGGACGCAGGACGAUUCCAACACUGCCAACUCUGCUGGCAGCGCCAGAAGAUGUCCCCCUCCCUUGCCGGGCACUAGGCUCUCCUCCAUGCCUUGGCUCUGCAAUCCUGCCCGUCCGCUACGGUUUCUGCACAUCAGCACAGUCGCACAGGGCAAACCGUGUCCGUGUGCGAUCGCGUUGGAGCUGGAUGGAGUGGGGGAUCCAGGACCAGGAGUAACGCCGUGGCCGUUUAGGAGCGAGCACGAAGCAUUGAAAUCUCCCUGCAAUGCCGCUGGCCGCUGCGGGCGCAGGGGGUAGGGUUCGGAGAUCGGAUGGGCCGGCGCGCAUGCGAUUCGUGCUCCCUGCCUGCCGUGCGCGCGGUGUGCCCGCGAAGGUGCAGACGUGCAGUAGUGCAGGGGCAGAGCAGUGGGAUCAAACGGCUUGGAUGGACGAAGAGCUGCGUGCAUGUCGCGCGCCAUUUAUGCAUCUGGGGUACAGUGCGCGCAGCGUGCCAGCGUAGGUUGGUGCAGGUGUAGAUUUGGCGCGUGCCACCAUUCGACACGGUGCAGGUGUAGCCGUGCAGCGAACUACUCGAGUGCACGUCUACGUAAUUCCUCUGCACGUAUGUUUGUCGCAUCACGUUUGAAUUACUUUUUCGAAUUUUGUUUCUUUUUUCCCCUUUUGCAUUUCCGGAUGCUACAGUACUACCAGUAGUAUCAUAUGCUCUCAUCCUAUAAAAAUAAUCACAAAAAAGUUCAAUAUAUUUCUGUGCCAUGUGAUAUGAUGGCACCUAGGUGUAUGCAUACAGGAAGUAGAUGGGAGUAUGGGAGAACACAGAACUCACUCUGCAAAAUUGCUAAAUCAUUAUUCUUCAGUGGUUCCAAACACCUAAAAUUUGUGUCUUGAAAUUUGGGGGUGUUUGGUUCCUAUAACUUAUUUUUUAGCACUCGUCACAUUAAAUGUUUAGAUACUAAUUAGGAGUAUUAAACGUAGACUAUUUACAAAACCCAUUACAUAAGUGGAGGCUAAGCGGCGAGACGACCCUUUCACCCCUGGAUAGUCUAUUUUAUGAAACUGUAUUGUAACGCCACAAAUUUGGAAAGGGGGUGUACUUUUCCCACAGAUAGGAAGUGGGAGAGUAGCUUUCCACUACCGGACUUAGUUGGGUAUGCGAAGCCCCGAAACCCCCCCAAAUGGGGAAAAGGGAGUUCCCCCCCCCCCCCCCCCCCAAGGAAAAGGGGGUGUUCAUUUUUAUUUCCCGAAAAAAGGGGGAGGGGGACAAUACCACCCUCCCAGCGGCAGGGGGAAGAGGAGGUUCCCCCCCCCCCCACCACCGAGAGAAGGGGGGGAUCCCCUCCCCCCCCCCCAACNNNNNNNNNNNNNNNNNNNNNNNNNNNNNNNNNNNNNNNNNNNNNNNNNNNNNNNNNNNNNNNNNNNNNNNNNNNNNNNNNNNNNNNNNNNNNNNNNNNNUGAUUUGACAUGUGUUGCUACAGUAAACAUUUGCUAACGAUGGAUUAAUUAGACUUAAUAGAUUCGUCUCGCCGUUUAGCCUCCACUUAUGCAAUGGGUUUUGUAAAUAGUCUACAUUUAAUACUCCUAAUUAGUAUCUAAACAUUUGAUAUGACACGUGCUAAUUAGUAUCUAAACAUAUGUCAGGAUCUUUACUUCAAGGAUGAUGGGUAUACGAUGUAAGAAAAAUUCACAUGUACUCCUUCGCACAUAGUAUAAAGUUCAAUUUAUACCUUAUUUGAAACUAUUUCAUAUUAGAAUUAUAGUUUAGGACAAAUAUUUGACCUAUCUAAGGAUCAGUCUAAUAGGCAGGUCAAGCAAGCACCAAACCUUUGAUACGCUGUUGAACUCUGAAAGGUAAAGUUUCUACUUAAUACUCCCUACAUUCUUUUUAUAGGCAUAUCGACUCGAAGGGAGGGAGUAAAUUUAUAAAUCUCCCUUCACAUUAGGGGGUGUUUGGAUGCCAGGGGCUAAACUUUAGUCCUGUCACAUCGGACGUUCGGAUGUUAAUUAGAAGGACUAAACAUGAGUUAAUUACAAAACUAAUUGCAGAACCCCUAGGCUAAAUCGCGAGACGAAUCUAUUAAACCUACUUAAUCAUCAUUAGCGAAUGGUUACUGUAGCACCACAUUGUCAAAUCAUGAACUAAUUAGGCUUAAUAGAUUCAUCUUGCGAUUUAGCAUAAGAGUUGUGCAAUUAGUUUUGUAAUUAGUCUAUAUUUAAUACUCCUAGUGUCCAAACAUUCGAUGUGACAUGGGCUAAAAUUUAGCCUAGGGGAGCCAAACACCCCCUAACUAACACCCCCUAACUACUGGGCAAUUGGCUUGAAGAAAAUGUUUAUGAUUACGAUUAAUAGCUACUCCUAUUUUGUUUGGUGACAAAUACUUGACAUUUCACAGACAAUGAUCUUAAACUUCUUAUAUUAUUCUAUCAUUAUAUUCUAAUAUAAAUAAUGGUCAAAAUAUAUCAUAGGGAUUGUUGUCAUGAAAAAAUCUAAGUUUCAUCAGACAUGUUUUAACUAUAUUCAUACCUUAGUAUAGGAUUGAAUCAGAUCCCUGCCUCUCUCGGCGCAAUCCUUGCACAAGAACCUCUCCAUUUACCCUUGGAUUGAUACGUUUGAGUUAUACUGCUUGCAAAAAUAAAAGGAAAAAAAUCAUGUAAAGACCUGCCUCUAUGGAUCAUUCAUUAUCCAUGAAAUUUCACAAUGUGAACGAGCACAAAAGGCUUUACGUUUCGGACCAUUCGCAUGCACACACAAAAGAACAACUCAUCAGCUUCCAGAAACUCCAACUAAAUAUCACAAGCGAAAGUAAUUCGAUCGAUCCCCAUCUCAUAAGCUGAUAACGAAACAUAGAGCAUGUGUGCUGAGCGGGGGUGAAAUCCAUCGAGAACAAGCGCUUUGGUUCCAUGCAAUCGGCAGCACAGCACACAAAAUCCUCCCAAGUGAACAACUACAGACACACCACCACAGAUAACAUAUUAUCGAUCGAUCUACUAGCUAGCUAACAGCCAAGAUGAUUGACAAGAUAAAACCAUGGAAUCAUGCAAGCAGCCGUGAAGCCAAAAGCACCAGAUCCUCCAGCGAUGCCCCACCCCCAUGCAUACGAUCGAUCGCGCGAGACAUCAGCCGCGCCGGCGCCCGCGGCGCGUGGCGGCGGGCGGCGCGGCCGCGACAUCCACGAACGCCGGAUACCGGAUAAUGUCCUCGAGCAGGCCCUGCGGCAUCAUCGGGUGCUCGCCAUCCUCAUCGACGUCGUCGCCCACGCAAGGGAAAGCCACGGCAGACACCUCGUGCCUCUCCAGCUUCUUCAUCGCCGCCACGGCGUCCCGGGCGUCGGCGCCAAGCUCCAUGGGAUGGUCGACGGCGGCGCGCGGCAGCAUGCUCGGGUAGAAGCCGUGCAGCGCGUCCUGAAGCAGCCCCGCGUCCGGCGGCUCGGUCCGCAGGGCGCGGCCCCAAACGUCCAUGUCCAUGGACAGUGGUGCUACGGGAGACGAGGCGACGGCAGGGGCCGUCACCGCGGGUGCGGCCAUGGCACCGGGCGCCGGAGCGGUAGGCGUCGGCGCUGGCGCCGGAGGGAGAGGCCGGGCAGGAGAGGGGUAUCCGUGGACGGCGUGGUGGAGCAGGCGGCAGCCCUGGUAGGAGGAGCUCAUGAGGAGGUUGUGCAGGAAGAUGGGGUCGAGCGUGCGCGCGCCGGCCACCGGCUGCGGCGCGGCGCUCCACGGCCAGCACGCAGCCGCCGCGGCGUGGACCGGGAAGUUGGUGCGCGCCUUGUUGCCGCGCAUUGCGCGCGCGGCGACGUCGUAGGCGCAGGCGGCCUCCUCGGCGGUGUUGAAGGUGCCGAGCCACCGCCGCUCCUUGGACAUGGGGUCCCGGAUCUCCGCCGCGAACCGGCCCCACGGCCGGCGCCGCACGCCCCGGUACCGCGCCCCCUUGGGAGACGCGUCACCGUCCCCGUCCGCGUCCAUGAUCCCGGCCGGCGUGGGGCGCUUGCUGCGGUGGUGGUGGCCGUGGGUGUGGGCGAAGAGGUGCGCGCCCUCCAUGGCUGGACGCGGAGCGCUCCGGAGGGGAACUGAUCGGUCGAGGUGGCUUUGUGGCGUUGCUAGCGGCGGUGGCGAGCGAGGAUGAGUGGGGGACUGGGGAUCGGAGUAGAGUGCGUCCGCUACUUAUAGAGGGGAAGCCGGGAAGCGCAAGAGGCAGGGUUGUCUGUCUCUACUGAUGCCCUGACGGCGCUAUGGUCCAUCGCCAUGGAGCAGUGGCCAUUGACGGCCUUGCUCUGCAAUGCAAAAGAAUUGUUACACUCAAUCUGGUACAUCGAGAAGCAUCGAUCAAUUGUACGUAUCUUGUUUACAUUCCUUCAGGUUUGAUUAGUGAUUGAAUACAUUUUAGAUUUAAGAGAAAACGAAAUACUCCUAGAACCAAAACGUUCGGGGUGUAUAGCAACCGGAGUAUGAUUUUUUGCUGGUGCACCGUGACAAGCUCGAUUUCAGUCCGUAUGUCAUUUGAAUCUAUAUACCGUAGGAUAAAUCUCCACUAUUGGUAACCCAUAAAACUUCAUUAUUGAUAACCUCUGUUUCAGUGAAACAAGCAGCGCCUAGGUGGUUUUUUUUGACCGAAAUCAAUUUAACAUUUCAGCUAUGUAUGAAAGUUGGAUCAAGCAGAGAUGGAUUGGAGAAAUAUACAUUAUGAUCACAAAACACAUGAAUUGGUUGUAAUUUUGAAUUUUUAUUUUAAUAUGUUAAAUUUCAUCUGUUUAAGAUAACGUAUGCAAGGAGUAUAACCGCCUAAAAUGCUUAAGCGAUGCCAAGGCACAACUAGAUAUACGCUAGACACGGCCUAACCCCUUACCUAGCCAGUGCAUGCUAGCAAUUUUUGAAAUGUUGUUGAUAACUGUGGUUAGAGAAGAGAACACAUAUCUUAACUAGAUUUACAGUUAUAUUUGAGCCACCAUAGAGAAAUUGCGGGGUUUGGAGCAAAUUUGGUAGAUUUACUUAUUUAUCUUUUGCAAACUCCAAGCAUCCAGAAACAAAGUCCAACUCCAAGCAUAACAAUCGAAGUGCAAUAAGAGCAAAUAUAAUAAAGUGAUGUAAGCAAGAUAUAAGACUUGGCACAUUCGGAUUAUGCCUAGUUGGAGGAUAAAUGAGAGCAGAGAGAAAGAAAAAGCGUGAUGUAGACUCAAAAAAUGUUGAAUAGAGAAAAUGUGAGGAUGAUGAUGGACCAGAUAUUAAUUAUUUUUUUUGAAUUCCAACACAAAUACAUAUGCUCAAAUAUAUGCAUGAACACUCACCGCCGUGAAUACGGCAAUGCACGCACGUAAAGAUUGACGAAGCCACCAUAGACGCUUCGUUGUCGACAAUCAUGUCACCUGCCACCGAGAGUAUAUCGUCAUUAUUUUUUAGAAUAAAUCUAAGAAAAUAUGAGCACCGCGUGUUGAGUUGAGGAUAUGGGAAAUCGGAAUGGGCAAAUUCCAUCGUAAGAAAUCUAACCAGCCUCAUUUUGCACGUACUAUUAAUUAUUUUUUUGGGUAGCAAGUAUUUAUUAUUAAUAUAUUACUCUAGGGUUUACGACUAGUAUAUGGGAAUAGUUAAAUACUAUUUCAAAUUGUAUGUCGUUUUGGCUUUUAAGGUUCAUAGAUAUUAUUAUGCAUCUAGACAUACAUUAUAUCUAGAUGAAUAAUAAUAUCUAUAAACCUAGAAAAGUUAAAACUACCUACAAUUUGCAAAUAAGGGAGUAUAAUAAAUUAUGUAAGCCAAUGCUCUCAUAAAUAUGCCUGAUCGUAUUUGCCAGAAACAAGGCAUGCAAGGUCCUGCCAGCCUCAACCCCACAAUAAAAGUCAGGAAAAGCUAUAUCUCACCCAAGUGAAGUAAGGCCUUUGCUCACUCGAUUUGGUGACCGUUUCAUCUGCUAUGUUUUGUACCUGCUUCCUCCGUUUUGUCCUUUCCUCUUUUAUCUCUAUCUUGUUGCUGACUUGAUUGGUCCAUUUGUCAAGCUGCAUUGUUUUGCAAUUUUUGGAAGCCACCGAUAUUUCUAGUCAGCAUUUCCGAUGCUGCUCCAUUUCUUUCCCCGCCCCCAGGUCCAACUCCCCCGUCCCCGCUCUGCCGCCACUAGCGGCGAAGCCCCCUACCCACGUCGCACUGGAAGGCGAGCUUGCACCGAUGUCGAGCUGGCUUCUCCCCAGCUGCUCGUCCCACGGCUCCUCGAGCCUCCCAGCACCACCGCCUCCGCCUCGCCCCCUGGCCCUGGCAGCACGUCCGCCUCACGCCCCCACCGCCAUAGCUGUCGAGAUGACCCUCAGCACACGUCGGAGCCGCCUUGCCAACCAUGGGAGCUGGAGGCGGGAUCGGGCGGAGGAGGAAGGGAGCAGCCGCCUGGCUCCCAUGCUGCCGAGGAGAAGCGGCUCUAGGGUUCAUCGUUCUAGUUAGUUUUCCGUCGAUUUCUACGUUCCACACCCAUGGAUCUUGUGUUUACUUGUGUUAUCGAUUCCUGAUUGGUUCGAUUUCUCAAGUUCUCUAAUUUACCUGGGUUAAUUUCGCCCACUGUGAUUUGAUUGCUGUGGAUCUUGGGUAGAAUCAAUUUUUGACUUCCUGUGAUGUUUCUGAACUAGGUCGCAUAUAAUUCGUGUCCUAAUUUGAAUUCCUAUCCAGUUCCACUCUGUAGUUUAGCUUGUUCAGCUAGUUUGUUCGGUUCCUUUCGCCUGCAUGUUAUAUGAUUUCUUUGUCUAUUUUCUUCGACCACAUUCAUCUGAGAGGCACUCUGAUCUUAUUAGGAUGGGCAUCUGCAUGUUGGUUAGUGACUAACAGAAUUGUGAUGGUUACAAUUCAUAGCUACUAAAGUUCCAGUGGUGAUUGUACUGUCAUUUGCAUGUAAACAAGGUGUAACUAUUGCAAUAUUUGAAAUAGUUUGGGUAAUGUCACUUUUUGCUAGCAUUUUGUAUGAUUUCUUUGUCUAUUGAUGUAUUUUCUUUGACCACAUUUGUCUGAGAGGCAUUUUGAUUUCAUUAGGGAGGACAUCUGCAUGUUGGUUAGUAACUAACAGAAACUGCCAUGAUGGUUACAAUUCAUAGCUACUAAAGUUCCAGUGGUGAUUGUGCUGUCAUUUGCAUGUAAACAAGGUGUAACUAUUGCAAUAUUUGAAAGUUUGGGUAAUGUCAAGUUUUGCUAGCAUUUCAUAUGAUUUCUUUGUCUGUAUAUGUAAUUUCUUUGACCACAUCCGUCUGAGAGGCAUUUUGAUCUCAUCAGGAGGGACAUCAGCAUGUUGGUUAGUGACUAACAAAAAUUAUAAUGGUUUAGACAUGUUGUUCGUUAGUGACUCUAUCAUUGUAUUAUGCACCUGUUGGUUUGUAAUGGUGUACAAUCAUGUUUGUUAGAGAAUAACAGAAAUUGUGAUGGACUGAUGGUGUGCACAUUUCUAUAAUCUGUUGCUUGCAUGAGAUUGUCUUUCUCUCCUUGCUAAGGUGUGUUAUAUCUUAUUUUGAGCUUGUUUAGUUGUUUUUUGCUCUUCUUUUUUAGAUAUCAAUGAUGUCUAAUUUCAUAAAACGAAUCAUUCAUGACAACUUCUAUAUUAUUUAGGAUCUGAUGACUAAUGUUCAUGCCAUCACUAGCAAGUUUUGUCUGGUUAUUGAGCAAUCUUUUGUGUUAGGAUUAUUAGGAAGAUUCUUUAAUAUGUAAAAAACAACUUUGAAACUUCUCUGUCAGCCACCCAGAAGAUUGUUUAUGGACCCUCAGCAAGGACUUGAGAGGUGGUAGGGCUGCCAGCUUCAACGUCAUUUCCAGUAGCUUUGAUACUUCUUUACCAGCUUCAACAUUAUUUUCUUCAUUUUUUCUGUAGUGGUUUGUUCACGCUAACUGAUAUGACCUAUUAGUUUGUCUGAUAAUUUAAGUGAUAGAAACAUGAUAGCUUGUUUCUUUAUGUUUUGAGUUUACUUAGCUUUAAGAAUUAAUUUAUAAAUUAUUAGUCCUAUUUGAGACUAAAUGUAAUGAUCCCGGUUAAUCCUUCAAGUUACCCUUAAUUCGAGUCCCCAAAUCCCUCUGUCUCAGCCCUCCCCUGAGCUUAAGCGCUCCGCCUCCUGUCAGGGUCCCGACCCCUGAGACCCCAGCCCACCCCGUCGGUUCCUUCUGAGUUCCCCAAGGCAGUGUCCCUUCGAUCUUAAGCAGAGGAGAAACCGAGAAUGACCGGUGGAUGGACGGGUAGACCCGCAAAUCUUUUUCCCAGAUCUCCCGAGGCAGACGCACUGGAGCGGCCUGCAUCGCUUCAGAGCUCUCCCGCCGCGUGGCUCAGCUUUCCCGACGCCCGUCGCUUCGCCCAGUCACCGGCCGCGACCGAAUGGUUUCCCGCGCCAUUCUCCCCAAUCGCCGCAGAAGCCCCUCUGCACCCCAUUCUGCAGCGCCUCAUCUCGCUCGCGCCCUCGCCAACCGCGCCUUGGUGCUCCGUCGCCGCUGCGGCAGGGCUUUGCCGCCUGCUGCGCCCAAACUGCCUCGCAGCUCGCACCAUCAUCAUCUCACCGGAUCCCCUGCUGCAAGGCCCGAUGCCUUCCGGCUUUUUCGCCGCCUCUCCACAGUCGCGCCGCCCCGAACUCGCUACGCGACGAUUCCUCCAUCGCCAACCCCGACUCCGGCCGCGACAGUUCUUUUCCGCCUUGCCAGAACUGUGCCCGGCAAACCGCUGCUUCGCGCUCGCCCGUGCAGCCGCAACCCGCCUGUCUUGUCACCUGUGCAACCUCGCUUAUAGCGCCAUUCCCCCUAUCACACUCAUCAGAUCUGCCGCACGACGACGCCCGCCUCCGCCAAAUCUCAACCACCGGCAAAACCGUGCCUGCGCCGCCUUGUCUCCAGUGCCUAAUAGCUGAGGACGCUAUCUUUGAAGUCCUGUUCCGCCGCCCAUCGCCGCUCAAUCGCCGCCAUGACAGCGCACUCCCCCUUUUCUUCCGGUCUUCGUGCUACUCCAACUCCAUCUCUCUCUCCGCGCAUCUAUAAAAGGGAAUGCCAGAGUCUUACUGGAGUUCCCUUCGCCAUUGUUGCCUCGCCGUCUUGUUUCUCUGUUUUGUGCUUGAGCGCCACCACCUAAGUUCUUGGGAAACUCUCAUUUCCGCUCAACACCCGCACCUUCCCAAUCCACCCAGCCGCCUGCUCCUCCGCGUUGUGCUAGAGCUUCCUUAUUGCUCACAAGAAGCUCCGCCGCCGCCGGAGCACCGCCGGACAUCGCCGCCACCAAAGCCUUAGUGCUUAAGACCUUUCGCCCACGUCUACUCCUUCCCGACCCCAAAAGGCUUCACCUAUAAACCGAAGGUAAGCUGCCGACCCCUUACCGUUUCACCUGACCCUAGCUGUUCGCCCGACCCCUCUUUCCGUUUCGCCCGACCCUAGCUGUUCGCCCGACCCCUCUUUUCAUUUCGCCCGACCCUAGCUGUUCGCCCGACCCCUCUUUCCGUCUCGCCCGACCCUGUCUGUUAGCCGACCCCUAUCUGCCUCACCCGAGGACUCGGAUGUAUCUUUUUCCUUAACCCGAGGGUAUCUGUGUAAGAUUUCAGGGACUUCUCUGUAAUAGAUCUGAGGACCCCAAUCACAGUUAUCCCUUAAGGUUUAAGAGUCAGAUCAUAAGUUCUUCCAAUCCGACCCUUGGUCUGUUCUCUAUCCACUGAAGCUUGAAACCCCACACUCUUUCCGUAGCUUUGCUACAAGUUUCUGGGCUAAGACUUGCAAGUGUUGCUAUUGAAAUAACCGUCUAAAUACUAACUCCUGCAUUGCAUUCGUGUAGAGUUUCGUCUUGCUGAUGGCGUCUACGAGCUACACCCGGUGCUAGAAGACGAAGCUGUCGCUGAGCUACCAGUUCCAGAAGCCGAAGUCGCCCCAGCUAAAGACCAGCUUCCCUCCCCUCCGCUUGAAGGCAAGCCCCGGAGCAUGAAUCCCAAAGUUUUCCCCCAAAACUUACGCAUGCCUUCUUUCUCGUGUUUGUGCAUUUACGUAUAGGAGUUGUUUGCAACCUUAGAUGCAUGACAUAGUUCCUUGAUCUGAACACUAGUUGUUGGACCGAGUAGUUGCUAUGCUUAAAUAGGAAAGCGGUAAAAGUCGAGUGAUUUCCUAUCACUCCCUUCUGUUACAACUAUAAGGACGAUGGACGGGGAAGGGUUUUGGUUAACUCUUUGGUGCUCGGCUGAUCGCCCCGUCUGUCUACGGAACUUGUUAAGGCCCGACAGUGGUGGUGUUCGUGAUCAAGUAUUUGAAAGUACUACUCGCAUACCUAUUAUGGGAUGGGGAAGCCUAGUACCUGAUUGAACUAGGGUGUGGCUUAUACCCCUGCUGUCCCUGGAACGAGGUUCCCAUGGUGCAUCAUGUGGGUGCAAGUGCGGUCACAGUACGGUAGACGCCGGGACUGUGAAGCAUUGCAUGCUAAGGGAAGUUUGGACCUGACACGCGCCUGGGAAUUGAUGGGGACGGCCGACACAGGAAGCGACCCUUGUGGUGCGCGGAUGUCGUGAGAUUAGGUUCGCCAUGCAUGGUUAAGAGACCCGAAUCGAUUCGUCUGCCUCUCACAGUUUGAGAUUGCUUGAUCGCUAUGCUACACUGAGUAAUGAAAGAGUCUGAUGAUGACGUGGUCUUGAUGAUGAGCUUAUAUACAUAAAGUUGGUCCUAUGUUUGCUUAGAAUAAGAUGCCAACGUAGACUGGUUAAUGAACGUAGAAUUUGAGCUAAAACUUGAAAGCAAGGAUCUAACGUAGUCGCUUUUGGCAAAUAAACCCCUCAGCCAAAGAGCCUUGCAUGUCUAGGCGUGGUGGAGUAGUUUUACCACCGGUCAGUUAAGUCUUGUUGAGCUUAGCAGCUCAGCCUUGUUUGUGGCUUUCUUUUCAGGUGAAGUCGCAGCUCCUGAGUUUGCUCCCGCUGGCACUUGGCCGCCCCAGCUCCCUCCGGGUUGGACGGUUGAGUGGGACCCUUCCUCGGACGGCGAGGAGAGGGAUCACUGACGUCCUGAUCGGCCUCAUCAGUGACAUCCGACCCCGGCGCUAGCUUCCGUUAUUUUACCUUUCUGCUGCUCGAACCCUGUAAAAACUUUGAUUCUCGUUUGGAUGUUGAACUAAAUGGUCAGAUUUGGUCAAUUUUGUGGAUCUGCUGUAUUCUCUGGAACCACUCACCUUCUUGUGAGUUUGCUAAACUCGGUCCUGUUGAGUGGUUUAAUCGGAUGAAAUCCGACAGCACUUCGAGUUAACUUGACUAAGGCAUGAGUGUCGCGUGUCAGGCGACUUAACUAUGCUAAAAUCAAGGUAAAUCGAGGUGAAUCCGCCACACUAAAUCAUAUAACUAGGAAUAUGAGGAUGCUCAUAUCUUGGUAUCAAUUGUUAAAAUGCCUUAUUGACUGGUGUGCAAGUGCUAACUGAUACACCACCUACAGUUUGUAAUUAGGUAUGGAUUAUUUCUUCUCAUUCUCAAUUUUAUGUUUAGGGUAAAGUUAGUAAACAUUAUAUAUUAUGAUAAUUUUAGCGAAAAGGUAAAGGACACCCAAGUGUUUCUAUUGUCAGUAGAAAAUGGAAUUAUUACAAAUAGCUUUUUGGUUGAUUGUUGAAGCCUUUGUUUAUGAUUUUGCUGAAGAUUCCGAGCUUAUCUGAAUAUUUUAGCUUAUCACAGAUGUGGGGUUGCUUAUGGAUCCUAGUGUAUAUGAAAGGGUUUCGAUGCACUUGAUUUUUUCAAUGCUCAUUUUGUUGUUUAGCCUCUCUGAGUAUUUGUCAAGUUUGUAGUUUCAGUUAUUUAAUUUCUUUUUCAUUGGAAUUGAAUAGUAAAAUAAUUCUUUUAUGAUCUAUAAUUUGUUUGACUAUGUCUGUUAGUGUUUGAUACAUGUGCUUUAUUCCUACACCUGAGCCUAAUCUUUCUUAUAGUACAUAAGAAAUUUGCUUAAGUUAAAUACUUUUAGCUUUUUCUUUGGCUGAAUUGAUGCAGCUGUUCAAUAUCUUUCUUUUUUUUUGGCUAAAUUGCUUUUGUUCCCUCACCUUUAGCAUAGUUUGGUUCAGCAUCUCAGCAUUAUAUUUACAAUGGCCAUCCUAUCCUAAGCAUUUUGAUAUGAGCAACACCUCAGUUCUUUAAAAAAAAACUAUAUGCACACUUUAUUUGUCCGAUUUGUUAACAAAUCCCUUCCAAUGCAGAUCGAAUAUGCAAUCUUCAAGAAAGGGUUUCCUGCAGAAGGCAACCAUUUGAAGUAGAGAUGGUACUUUUUCUUCAUUAUUUCUGUGACAUCUAUUUGCUAUCUAAUUAGAGUUUCUUUUCUUUCUACAAUGUUGUGCCAAUCAUUCAUAUUAAAUUCAUAUUUCUUCUAAAUCAACAUUCAUUUGUAUGAUAUUACCUUAUAUGUUACCUAUAUAUAGAAGUUCAGAAUUCUAUUUGUGUGUUUAUCUGAUAUGACUCUACCAUUUUGUGCUAAUAUAUGAGCUUAAUACCAUUAGUAUCAGAUUAUGCAAAAAGCUUAAUUGUUUUUCUAACUUUGCCACUUUAACAGUAAAGUCAGUUUAGUUAGUACAUUAUACAGUAUAAUUUGUGUGUAAGUUAUUUAUCAAUGGACUUUUUUGCACUUUUUCUAUAUCCAAAUUAUGCUGGGUCCUUGUCCCACUGGCUUGUCUUAUUUUUUCGAAUUUCACACUUCUCAAUGAAAGGGAGUAGCCUUUUUUUGACAUUUGCAUUUGUCAUUGGGAAAAUUUGUACAUUUGAAAAAUUUGUAUUUGGGGUUUCAGUGACUCCCCAAAUAAUUUGUUAAUCUGCAUUCCAUAGAAAAGAAAUAUGAGUUAUUUGUGUAUUAUGCAUCUGUCAUUUGGGAAGUCUGUGGCAUUUGAGUAAUAUGUAUUUGGGGGUUUCCGUGACUCCCCAAAUUAAUUUGUUAAUCUACAUUCCAUAGAAAAGAAAUCUAAGUUAUUUUUGUAUUAUGAAUAUGUCAUUUGGGAAAUUUGUGACAUUUGAGGAUUCUGUAUUUGGGGUUUCUAUGGCUCCCCAAAUUAAUUUAUUAAUUUGCAUUUCAUAGAAAAGAAAUCUGAGUUAUUUGAGUAUUUUGCAUUUGUACUUGAGGAAAUUUAGGACAUUUGAGAAAGUUGUAUUUGGGAGUUUCCGUGACUCCCAAAAUAAUUUGUUAAUAUGCAUUCCAUGUAAAAGAAAUCUGAGUAAUUUGAGUAUUUUGCAUUUGUACUUGGGGAAAUUUGGGACAUUUAAGGAAUUUGUUACUCGAUUUGUACACCAUCUGUAACAUUGGAUCUGCAUACUUUUGUCUUCUCAGAGGUGACAUGCUCAGGUGAGGCGAAUCCAAUGUUCUUUCUAAUUUUCUGAAUCUAAUUCCGUUCGAUCCCUAGUUUCAUUUAGUCGUUAUUUUUCAUUAGGUGUGAUUCAGGAUAUUAGUUUCGCAUGUUGAAUAGCUAUGGAUUCAUCAAUUGGCUUUUGAAAAUAUCAUGAUUUCUCUCAGUCUAUUAGUUGAUUCUUUUAGUUUUACCUAUCAUAGCAAUUUCCUUUGAUGUCAUGAUUUUUUUAGGGUUUACCAGGGUGAGUACUGGUUCAAUGUUCAUUCUUAGUAAAUAAUUUGGUCACUCUAUUGUAUCCUUGUCUUGUCUUGUUUGUUUAUCUCGAUGCCUUUUUUGUAAGAAACCCAAAACAUAUACCUUUCCAUAAUAUAUUAAAUAUGCUAUUUUUGUACAUUUCCAUUUGUUGACAGUGACAAUUAGUUGAAUUUACAGUGAUAAUGUCACUGUCAAAUACUGUCAUUAAAAAUAUUAUAGGUGCAUUGUAAAUAUCUGUUAAAUUUCUUUUCAAUGCAUUCUGAUAAGCUAUUAUAAGUUAGUUGACAUCUUCGUGCUGUAGUUUCUGCAGCUUAGCCCGAUGUACAGCAACUUCGUCACUUCGUUAGCUCAUCGGUUGUAGGCUUUGCUCAAGGACUUCCUGGAAGGUCUAGAUGCCAAUAAAAUUUUUGGUCAGCCCUCAGGUUGCUCAUAUUCAGCAUAUGUUGAUUUUUGAUUUAAGUUGCAUGUGUCAUACAUACAUCCAUGGGCCCACUAGAAGGUUUGGACAAACCUACAUAUAGGGUUGUGCACCGAGACAUAUCAUACAUGGAGACUACGGUGCAGGAUAGUGCAGUCUACGUGGAGGAUAGGAACUAGUCGAGGACUCGAAAACUACUCAUAGCAAUUAGAGUUGGACUCUCUAGUUGAAUCCGACUACUAUUCCUGUAAAAUAAUCGGCCUGUAACCCUGCUCCUCCAAUAUAUAAGGACGAGCAGGGACCCCCUCCAGACAAGUUCAAUUGAAUACAGGCAAAUAACACAUAGGACGUAGGGUACUACGCGAUCUAGCGACUCGAACAUGUCUAAAUUGUGUGCCUACGUACACCAUCGAGUUCCUGAUUUUGGCGACACCCACCAACCAAAACUCUACCUUAGGUACUCCCCUUGGUAGGUUGUCGGGUUUAAACACCGACAUCAUGUGAGUUCCUUCAUUUUAUCAUUGACUGGUCAAUUCUUUUCAAGCAUAUGAUGAUUCGUAUUUUUGCAAGGUGGAUAUCCAAUUUGUUUGAACUGGUAGCCAUCUCAUAAUAUCUCAAUGUGGUUAUUAGUGUUCAAUUGACAAUAUUUUUGCAUCUCAGAAAUUUCUUUUGACAUCAUAGUUUUCCAUUCUAUUAUAAUUGUGUAUCAUUAUUUUUCUUCUUACAUCUGAUUUGUUGUUCCUUAGAGUGAUGAUGUGAAUGAGCCUGCACCUCCAUGCCAAUAAGAUUGUAUAAGAUAAUUUAAUUUACAUGAUGAUAGUAUUGUUACGAUAAAUCUAAUGUACUGGAACUUCUACUUUGGUCUCAUUAAUUUCAAAUUGACUUUGCAUAAUUGAUAAUUCUAAUGAGUUUUGGCUUUCAGGUUAAGCAUGUGAGAUAUGAGUCCCUUAUGCUCCGUUAGUAGUCAUGUAUCAUAUUUGUAGGAAAACAUCUAAGUUGUUUUCAUGUUCUGUGGCUCCAUUCCAAGAAAUAGUUUUUUCUCUUUUGCAGUAUGUAUCCUAGAGUUUAUUCUCAUAACAGGGGUUAGGUUUUUGACACAACUAUGAUUACAUAACAAGGAAAACAGAAAAAUUAUGUAAGUUUAUUUUUUCAUUUGUGGGGUUUCACUGAUUACCCAAAUAAUCUUUAUGUUCGCAAUUCAUAGAAAUAAUCUGAACACUUUGGUAUAUAAAUUGCAUUUGUGGGUUUUACUGAUCACCUAAAUUUUUGUCUAUCUGCAUUCCAUAGAAUAUUUGAAGAAUUUGAAUUUGGUAGAAUCUAUGUCAUCUGGCUCUUUUGAAAUUUUUCUCAUUUUGCAUUUGAGGGGUUUCAUUACCGCCCUCAACAUAUGAAAAUCUUUAAACCAUAGUAAUUUUUUGAAUUAAUUUGUCUCUAUGCCGUCUUUCUCAUUUUGAAUAUGUGGGGCCAUAUUACUUCCCUUAUUUUCUAAAACUUUGUAGACUAUAUUAAAUUUUGUGCAAAAUAUCUAGAUUAUGUCUUUUAUGUAGUUCUGUCUACUUUUGCAUUUUCUUCUUUCAAUUACUCACUUUUAUUUUUGGAGAUUUUCAGUUAUCCAUUUCUUUUGUAGUUUUUCUCAUUUGAUCAUGUGUUGGGCUGCAUCAUUGGCACCAUCAUUUGCCUUUAUUUCUGAUUGCUUUGUCAUAAUUAUUGUCUAUUUUGGUGUUCUUGUUGGGUGAUUGAAAUUCGGAUGAGCACCUCUUAGGGCCUGUUUGGGAAGUGGGUGUUAAAGUUUAACACCCCCCAUUUAACACCUUUUUAACAAAAUGGCUGCCAAACACUUGUGUUAAAAGAGUAGUGUUAAAAUUUAACACCUCUCUUUUCAUAAAUACAUGGAGGGGGUGUUAAAAUUUGCUAAAGGUGUUAAAAGUGGUCCCCCUCCCCACUUAUUCCCUAGUUGCCCCCCUCUCUCUCCUCCUCUCUCCACUUAUUAGACAGCAUUUAAGAUAAUGCAGUUCUUUUCCAACAAAGAGGUGUUAAACUUUAACACAUGUAGGGUGUUUGGAUGGGUUGUUAAAGUUUAGGUGUUAAACUUUAACACCCCUUCCCAAACAAGCCUUUAUUGUUCACCCAACUUUUUGAUCACCAUAAGUUUUGGGUGGUUUGAUGGCCCAAGUCAUCCGAGUGAAAGGAGGCAUCAAAUCACUCGGAUUUUAUCCCAUCAUAAAUUUGGGUGAUUUGAUCACUAAAAUCACCUGGGUGAUGGAAGGCCCCAGAUCGCUCCAGCAUGAUAUUGACAGACCCUAAAAGUGCGGGUGGUUAGUCGAAGGAAGGUUCUUCUGUUUGUAUUUAUUCGGUCGACGGGGCUAUGAAAUGAAUACAGCUAGUGCGCGGCUGCGCGCCAUGGAUCGGAGCUGGAGUCGUAGCCGGCCAAGCCGCUGCCGGGAGGCCAAUGCGCGCGUGGCAGGCUGUUUAUGGAAUUAAUCGGCUCAUCAUUAGCAGCUCGCGCUCCCAGCCUCCCACAUUUACUUCCCCACCACCACGUUCCAAACCUGCACGAGAAGUAGGAUCGAUCCGAGUAGUAGCAUGUAGCUGCCGGCCACACGUACGAAUCGCACGCGUACGCUUGCGCAAGGUAUCGCGCGUCACGAUCCAUUUUUACAGUACGUGGAGCACGUGGUAUUUUUUUAGAGUUUUUCUGUACAUAUACGAUCGCUUCAUCUGAUGGUCCAGUUAUGAAUCAAUGGGCUAAAAUUAAAACAGGAGCAGUUGCCACUUGUAACAUGUCGCUAUACUAAUAGGCUGUUGCAUUUCUUCCUUUAUUUUUUAGCAUUUCACUGUUUAAACGAGUUUAAAGGAAAAUGCGUGCAUUCCUCUAGUCGAAAUUCAGGUGCAUGGCCGUCAACUNNNNNNNNNNNNNNNNNNNNNNNNNNNNNNNNNNNNNNNNNNNNNNNNNNNNNNNNNNNNNNNNNNNNNNNNNNNNNNNNNNNNNNNNNNNNNNNNNNNNAACAACAUACACAUUUAAUUAGUCUCUGCGCGCUUGAUCAUGGUGUGAGUCAUGCAUAUUGGAGGAUACAAGAAACUAGCGGUGGAUGGUGAAAUUGGUACAUAAGGGGGGCGUUGGAUUUGGUCUACAGUAGCUUCUCACGUAGAAAAGCAUAUGGCGCCAUGAACCUUACAGGUCAAGGCGUGAAGCAGAUCUUAGCUGGAGACUGGAAUCAGAGGCGAGCAAAGAGAGAGAGAAGAUCAGGACGGCUUCCAGCCUUUGGAUCGUGCGUGGGGCAGCACGCAGAGCCUUGGAUCUCCUUGUCCCCCCGUCUCGUUUGCCGAAGCACGGCGGCGGCGCAGAGAGCCGAGAGAGUGAGGCGCAGAAGAGAGAAGACGGCGCCCGGCCAGUGCCAAGGGAGCGUGCAUGUGUAUGACGGACUGACUGCUUGUGUGGUGCACGGAGAGAGUACGCAUGCAUGCACGUAACAAGUAACAACAAGGGAAUGCGCCAAGCAGGGCAGAGGCCCCCCCCUCCCAUUUACGAGCGGAGACAAAGCUCACGCGCGCAGGCACAGAGUACAGGAUCCAGAGGAGAAAGGAGAGGAGGCUUCUUCACUUUCAUGAUUCCAUGCAUGCAUGCAUGAGCGCUGCAGGCCCAGCUACCUGCAUGUCCCGGCCGCCUACGCGGUGACAUGCCACGGUUCUACUCCAUGCUUUGCGUGUUGCAUAUAGCCUGGAGGUGCUUGCAUGUCUAGCUAGGGUACGUUGACUCGGUGGAGCAGCCGUAUACCGUAGACUAGACUAGACAUGCAGUACUUGCAAUCUGAUGGCCUAGCUACGACUCGAUCACACUCCACGUUCGCGCCCGGAGGUCAGCUUUUGGACGCAUCUUCUUGUCCUGCAUGUUCUAACUUCAUUGAUCCGAGGAACGAACUAGAGCGGAAGAGUGGAUGCCCUAACUCUGACGACCAGUAACCUUUAAAAUACUGUAAACACUAAAACACAACAGUUUUAGACCGCGAAGAUGUGUUGACACCGGGCAAAAUCUCAUAAGAUCCGGAGUGAGAGAUUGCCGGCUGCUAGCGUGCAUACGUUGGAAUCGCAUAUGACGUACGAUGAGAAGCUAGCGUACAUACAGACGGUGAUUGGUAACGUGCAGAAGCUGUCAGACAUGGAGUCCAGGAGUUCUAAUGCAAAGAUGGACUUCAUCAGAUUGGUCAAGCAAGAAAAGGUGAUUAGAAUAAAGAAGGUAAGGUUGGUAUUGAGAAGCUGAAACGGCUGGACUUAUAAGCCGGCUGAAAAGUUGAAACGGCUGAUUUGUUAUGAGAGAAAAACAUUAUUCGAUGGUUGAUAAGCCAGCUAAAUAAGCUGAAGCGAACAGGCCUAACGAAAAAGCCCUCACGUAUAAACAAAGGUGAUUAAAGUAAAGAAGGGAAGGUUACGGUGUGGGUGUUGGUUUACCUUGCAUGCGUCACGUAGGAGCAGUAUGGAUUAAUCACACAUGUGGACCGAUCUUUGUAUAGAUGGGUUGGAGGAAGCUUUAUUAGCGAGGACUCUACGUAAGGGAAAAUAGAGUUCAUGUAUUUUAAUAUUUUCUUUAGUUUAGAUAUUUAUUGUUAGGCAAGUUUUUUAUGACUCAACUAGGAGUUAUUAGCCUAGAGUAUAAAUAUGUACCCCUGCCAAAUCAAUCAAUCAAUUAAUACAACCUUUCAGCACCACACCGUCAAAACCCUAGGAGUAGGAGUAGAGUAGAUUCGACGAGUUCUUUCCGACACGCACGGUUGCAUCGGCUUCAAUCUCAAGCGAGCUUGUAAAUACCGUCACUCGGUCAUCACGUGCUCUAUCGGAACUUUCUAAGUUAAAUCUUAUAUUCUGAUAUUCGUGCGUGUGGCUAAUUAUCGAGUUAUCUUAGAUCACAAGUAGAACUUUCUAGGCUUUAUCCAAUAUUCUGCUUGUCUUCGACGUUGCUCACAGUUAUCGAGUUGUUUGGUUUUAUUAAGUUGUAUCAUAUCGAUCUCUUCGUUUUAUCAAGCGCUUACAGUUAUCGAACGGCUUAGAUCUGGUUAGGUUGUCUUCAUCGGCUCCUUGACCUUGUUUAAGCAUUCACUAGUUAUCUGAUCAUAUCGGCUAGUUAGAUCUUGCAUGCUUUUAUUGUUUUACAUACGCUACUGUUGAGAGCUGAUGCAUCGGCUGGGUAUCAUCCAUAUCUCAUAGAAGCGCGAUGAUGUCAUUGAGCCGAUAGGUGUGCGUACGAGGCCUUGCUGUCGCAAGCUUGUCUGCUAAAUUAAUGGGCCAAAGUUAAUGUCCUCUCAUUCUUGUUACCUUAUCUAAGUUCAAUACAUGUAUCAUGACAUUAAUUAGAUCUGUUAGCUUAAUUAGCUUGUAAGCGGCAGAUAAGAGGCUCUUGUUUGCUGUGUUCUAAUCUUUUAGAUUAAUAGAUUCAUGUCAAUGCCCUCUCAUUCAUAUUACCUUGCCUAAGUUGAAUACACUUAUCAAGACAUUGAUUAGAUCUGUUAGUUUAUCUGAUGUGUGUAUGGUGAACAAGGGCUUCUUUUAUGGAUGUUGUUUUUACAAUGCUUUUAUCUUAGCCCGUAGGUUCAUAUAGCUCAUGGCAUAUGACAUUAAUGAUUUCAUUUAUUUACAUUGCAUGAUUACAAUGAAUAUCCACGCCUACCCAUGAGUUUGAAAAGCUUCGCCGCCGAUCGACUCAGUAAUUUAAUGUUUACUUGUCAAUUUUCAGGUUAAAUUGAUUGGCACCCUUGCACCUUCGCGAGUCGAUUUGGAGCCUGCACUGAAGUUAAGCAGAUUUCGGAGGCCCUAUUUGUUGUUCAACGCAGUUUUCGUGUCAACGAUAUGCAAACUAAAAACAAAAAAACGUGAAGUGUCCUAAUGAGUACAGUACGUGUCUUACUGUCCUGCGUGUCUUACUGUCCUGAGCAUACUUUGUACUCGAGGCUUGUACUGUACAGUCUACCGUGUCCGCACUCGAGGAGUAGCUAGUCAUCCGUACAGUACAUGCUAGCCUGAAAUUUGGACCGGGGGAACAAACCAACAGCAAAAAGCUGAUGCCGCUGUCCGCCCAGAACAAGACGUGCCCUGCCCUUUCUUUCCCUCACCGCGUGCGCUGCGCACGCACGCACGAACGCGCCCUUGGUCUGGUCAGCCGUCAGCGAGUGGCGAGUGGAGCCGCGCAGCCGCCGGCCUGUCGAACCGCAAGGGCCAAGGCGACCCGCGCCCAAGGGCGCCAGGCUAUCCCGGCCCGGGUCAGCCGGCACACUGCACAAGGUCGCGUGGGGAUCGGUGAAGCGACGCCCCCAGCCGGGCCACGCGCGCCUGCGGGAGCCAUGGGAUCCUCUGCGGGCUGCGUGAGCAACCGGCGGUUUGUCUCUCGAAUAUCGCUCGUCUCCCGGCGGGGUACCGUGCCGCUAGCCCGCUACGCCACGCAGGCAGCUGCCUGAAACGGAACAGCACCAUUGGAAACGUGAUACACUUGCCUCGUUUUUUUACACUGGCUUUCUCGCGUGCAUGCUGGCAAACGGAAAACUGUACCGUGCGCAUAAUCAUCUUGUCCUGGUUGGAGGUAGGCUCUACGUUGGAUUUACAUUUUACGGUCAGCAUUCGAAAUUGGAAUGCAACGGGAUAGGGAAUGGAUGUAGGCUCAACGAAACAACAUCUCUACCACUUCUUUACUGUAUCAGUCGGUUGCGGUCGCGACAGGUCAAAAUCCCCAAGUGGAAGCUCCCUAUGCGUGUGGCCAUGCCACAUGAAGCGGUGUUUGAUCAUCUGCCACGUACUCCCUCCGUUCGCGAAUAGAUGUCGUUCCCAACCGGUUCGACGAAAUUAAGGAACCUGUGAAAUUACUAUUUUGCCCAUCCUAAUUCCACCGAUCCAUCCCCUGUUUCCCCCAGGUGGCUCCGCUUUGCCCAGAUCCACCGAUGGCGCUGCCACCAUGCUUCGCCUGAUGGCCCCGCCGUCCCGAUGGCCCCGCCGUGCUUCGCCGUUCCAGGCUCCUCCUCCACCGCACCAUCCCAGCUCCUCCCUGGCACCGCUCCCUCCACUGCAGCCCCAGUGGCGCAUCUUGCCGGGGCGGCGGGGUCACUGCUGGCAUGGGAGGACAUCUCCUUGGGCUUCCCCUCCCCCGCGUUCGUCGACACCACCCUCAACCCUUCGGCGCACGUGGGUAUGCAGCUAGGCAACUCUUCGCCUGUGUUGCUUGCGGGUUUAGCCUCGUCAUCGCGCCCAUCAACUCUUUGCCAAGAUUUCCCUUCUCCAUCUAUGAGGUAUGACAUCAGAUGUCUUUCUUGGUUUGUCGAUCCAUCUACGAGUUCAAUCUUUUGAUGAUGGUGAUUCUAGGUUGCUCUGCAUUGUGAUGUGACAAUUUGAAGCCAAUAUGUGAAAAUUGUCUAAUCCAUUUGCUAUGAUCAGAAUAGGAUAGGGCCCAGGCCUAUAGGCUCCUGUUGUUCAAUUAUUCUGGUGUUUUAAUUUAUUCCAACUUGUGUGUGUGUUUUGCAUCUGAGUGCAGAUGGAAUGGAAGCACCACCACCGAAGAUUCAAUUGAAGCCUGGUCCACUAUGAUCAUAUUUUUUUAGUUGCCCAUAUAAUGAUUUUGAAGCAUGAAACACAUCUUUGUCCAUAAAUCUGGAAAAUGUUGUCCACUAUGCCAUACUAGUCUGAUCACCACUUGAUUAGCAUGUUAAGCUUCUAAUACAAUGUUUAUUUACCACUGCAAGAUAUCGCUCGCUUGCAAUGAAAAUUUUCCAAAAUAGGCCACGAGAUAAACUCAAAGUAAGAACACUGUUGUGUCUUCUCCAUCUCAUCAAAAUGGUACUCCUACGCAUAUAACUCCCUGCACUUGGUUAGCAUAUUUGCAUUGGUAGGACCAAGGAAUUGUCUAAUCCAUUUGCUAUGAUCAGAAAUUUGUGUAGCCCAUUUAGUUAUUCAGCAUUUUUCUAGUCCAUUUGGUCAGUAGAGUUGUGUUCCAUUUGAUCAGGGAGUAUCUGUUUCUUAGAUGGCAGUAAUACAAGUAUGAUUUCUAUCUCAUCGUUGUGAUUGGCAGUAAUACUACUCCAUUUGGUGAGUACACGCUGAGUUGUGUGGUACAGUAAGGGUGACUAUCUCAUAUGUGUAUCAUUGUUUGUUCCCUUUGGUUACUGUCAUUUGUGCUUAACAUACGUGAAGCUGGUAGCAUUGCUACCCCCAGAUGUAUGCUGUGAUGCUGUGGAUGGUCAUUUCUUUCUCUUUUUGAUUGGACAGUGUUCAUCUUUGUCAUGUGCUGACAUAGGAUCAAGAUAACCAAUACCAAUUACCUUUUUUUUCUAACCAUGAUAGCUACCGACCAGUUUAAGUACUCCCUCUUUUGUGCACAACUCAUGUUAAAUUAAUACUCGUGUAGGGCUGUGGAGGUCAGGAUAAAUGAUCAAGUAGAAUGGCAAAGGAGGAAGAAAAGAAAGUCCCCUUGUACAAGCAUGUUACUUUUCAGAUCAUCGCUAAGCCGAAUGUUAUUGUCACCACAUUUGAGGUCCCCUACAGCAAGACAUGGGAGAUCGCCACUAGCCACAACAUGCCCAAGAGCAGUGAAUGAUAUUGAUUUAAAUUUGGAUACAGAGAAUGGUUCUGAUACAGGGGCUGUUCUACAACCUCAAGAGAGUGCACGGAGGAGACCUGUUGUGCAUGAGAAACGAAAAGCAAUAUUCGAAUCUUUGAUAGCAAAGGUAGGAAUGGAAAUUUAAAGGGUCAUGAGAUGAGUGAAGUUUUAGAGAAAUUCUCAGUACCUCUUCGGACAGUCCAGCGUAUCUGGAAAAAGGGAAAAACCUGCAUAGACCAAGGUAUGCUAGUUGAUGUUUCAAGUGGAAAGUCCAGGUGUGGUCGCAAGAAGAUUGAGGUGGAUGUGUCAACACUCCGCGAUCUUCCUUUGUCAAGUCGUACAACAAUACAUGAUGUGGCUCAGCACUUUGGUAUCAGUAAAAGCAAAUUGCAUGCAAUGAAACGUGAAUGCAUUAUAAAGCGUGUCUCAAGCAGCAUCAAGCCCUACUUAACAGACAAAAACAAGAAGGACGGGCUGAAGUGGUGUCUAUCUAUGCUUGACCCAAGCAGUGUACCACAUGAUCCCAUGUUCCAAGGUCUAUUUGAUUAUGUGUUCAUUGAUGAAAAAUGGUACUACAUUACAAGAAAAGCAGAGAGAUAUUAUACAAUUGCAGGAGAAGAACAACCGGUUCGAACUUGCAAGAGCAAGAAAUUACAUUCCUAGGAUCAUGUUUUUGACUGCCGUUGCUCGACCAAGAUUUGAUCCUGAUGGCAAUUGCACAAUUGAUGGAAAGAUUGGUUGCUUCCCAUUCGUGACAUAUGAGGCAGCCAAGAGGUCAAGUGCAAACCAGCUUGCAGGAACAAUAGAGAUGAAGCCUAUCGACUCGGUAAAAAAGGAAGUCAUUCGAGAAUUCAUGAUCGAAAAGGUCUUACCAGCUAUUCGUGCUAAGUGGCCGCCUAGAGAUGCCAACAAGCCAAUAUUCAUACAGCAGAACAAUGCUAGACCCCAUCUUACUCCUAAUGACACAAUGUUUUGUGAGGCUGCUAAGCAACAUGGGUUUGACAUGAGACUUGUCUGUCAGCCAGCAAAUUCACCUGAUUUCAAUGUCUUGGAUUUAGGCUUCUUUAACUCUAUUCAGUCAAUCCAGUACAAAACAACAUCCAAAACAACUGAAGAGCUUGUAGCCACUGUAGAUCAGGUGAGAGCUCUAAACUUGUUUGCUUUUCCUUUGCAAUUGUGUGUGCAACAACUUAUUAUGAAAAAAUGUUCUAAAAUAUAUCAAUAUGCGGAUCAGGCUUUUGAACGUUAUUCGGUGCGUCAAGCAAAUAGAAUUUUCUUGACUCUCCAUAGAUGUAUGAAGGAAGUUAUGAAACUUGGUGGUGGAAAUGGAUAUGAUGUUCCUCACAUCAAGAAAGGGAUGCUCGAAAGGCAAGGGUGUCUCUCUUUGCAACUGAAGUGUGAAGCGCAAUUGGUGCAAGAUGCUAUGGCACAAAUCAACGAAUAAAGAGCAAAAAAACUAUGUGUAAUUUAUUCUUGAUCGAUCUUUUAAACUACAUUGUGGUUAGUUUUGCAUAAUGGAUGAAAUAAUUGCUGCUAAGUUGACAGCCUGUGAUAAAUGUGGUUCAAUUAUUCUUGAUGUCAGUUAAGAAAUUUUAGCAUGACAAAAUGAAUGUGCUAUACAAAUGAAUGUGCUUGAUAUUGCUAUUUCUUCAUGUCAGUUAAGAUAUUGCUAUCAUCUUUACCAAGAGAGGGUACAAACUUUACAGAACCACAGACUGGACACCAAGAAAGGAAGGUACUCCAAUAGAACUGACCAAUUUUGAGCCGAAAAACAGAUUCUGAGAGCAAUACUCCUCAAACAGUAUUUAGUACAAAUUGUUACGGUACAUACAUCUGCAAAAAUGCAAUUCACAGAUUGAAUAUGGACAUGUCAUCCUCACAGUAUGCUAGUGCAGAAAUGCAAAGUGUUGCAGUACUCCUCACAAAUUGAAUAGAACUUCCUAUCCUUUCUACACCUAUCUCAACACCUAAAUACUCCUUGUACAACAAUUCCUUGUACAACAACUUGAGGUUUCUUAACAACAAUUGUGUCUGUUGGGCCCUGGCAAUCUCUUCAUCGCAUAGAUAAGCCCCUGCAACAAUUGUGUCUUUCAUGUGACUUUCUACAGAAUCCGAGGGGCAGAGAACAGCACUGACUCCGCCUUGUGCGUAGUUUGUGUUGCUCUCAUGAGGCUCUGCUUUGGUGAUAAUAGCAAUAGAGCUAUACUUUGAAACUUCCAAAGCAUACCUUAGGCCAGCAACACCGCUACCAAUAACCACGAAAUCAAAGAAUUUUGUGGUAUCAUCUUGCAGGCAUGAAAUCAAACAAUUAGCACGCUAUCAUCAAAUUAAACAAUGCAACAAUAACACGGUAGGAAGUGUCAGAUCAAAGCUCGCAAUUUGAAAUAAGUACUCAAUUGAUUAUACAUAUCAUUUCUAACUGAAGACCUUUUACAUGUUCUUUUGGUUCUCUUAUCUGAAUCAUACUUCAGUCAGUUUGGAAAUCGUGACACUGCUUCUUUCAAAUAGUUCAAUAUAAUAAGAGGCUAUCAGACUGCAACAAGCACUUGGAAUCCUCCUGUAAAAAAAUAAACGUUUGACGCUCUCGGAGAGAAGAAUAUUUGACAGCAUCAACUUCACCUAGAGUUAUCAAGCUGGGCGCAUCUUCUGAAACAGAGAGAAGGUAGUCCAGAAGCUUGCAUGUGCACUUUCUCGAUAUGCAUCAACCGUGCGCAUUGGAAGCUGGCAAAUCCAUUCGUCAGGUUCGCCAUCCCGUCCUCGGCUCUGCCUGCAGAAACGAAACCAGAGCACACAAACUAAUCAAGAACGUAGACUGCACAGGGAGAAGCAGAAAAGAGGAAGAAUUAUCUUUUCCAAAUAAAAGCAGGAGGAAGAAUCCAGAGGAACGAACAGCAACCGCAAACAAAACAAGCAAUGAGCGAAAGAACUGAAAAGAUCUCCAAUUACGGACGGGUAGAACAGGAACGAGAAGAUCUAAGCAUCCCCGGCGAUAAAAGCCAGGCAGGACCGUAGGACGACAACGGGUUCAGGGUCCGUUUGGUUUGGCUUUUUAGGUGCUGUGGCUUCCUAAAAAAGCCAGAAGCCAAACCAAAGGGGGUACUCAUACUCCUUAGCUUCUAGAGAAAGCUGCUUUUGUGCAGUUCAUUUUUCACAGCAGGGGAGGAGGUGCUUUUUGGAGCUUUGGCUUUCACAAGUUGAAAGAAAUUACCCACUGCCAUGGGUUAUGUUGUACCGGUUCGCUUCUUUUCUUUUCUUUUUCCGUCUCCCUCACCUGCCGGCUCUCCCUGCCCGGCACCGUUCCUCCUCCGGCGGCGGCGCCCCUCCUCCUCCUCCGGCGGUGGCGCCCCCUCUCUGCGGUGCCCCUCCUCCCUUCUCCUAUCGACCUGCCGGAGGUCAUCUUUUUCCCCGCACCGGCCCGCCAUGGGUAGAGGCCGGGCGAGCUCGAGAGCUCCCCGGUCCGAGGCCUCGAGCUACUAGGGACCAAGGGGAAGGUAGGAGGAGCAAGGGGAGGGCGCGGGCAUCCCAUUCUAGUGGUUGGGGAAGGGAAAGGGGAAGGGUGAGGCGCGGCCAUUGGGGUAAGUGGCGCUGCUUGUCUCGGUGCGGUGUGCUACUCCGGUGAGAGGAGGAAGGAGGAGGGUCGAGGGUGGAGAUGGGGUGGAGGUGCGUGAGGGCGAGGAGCUCGACCUCGCGCUCCAUGGAGGAGAGCACCUCCUCGGCCUAGCCCGCGACCCAGUGCGCCUGGAGGAAGAAGAUCUGUGCGCCUGGAGGAAGAAGAAGAUAAUGACGAGUGGGGUCCGCAUGUCAGUGAGAGAGGAAGAGAGUUCAGUGGGGUGGACUGUGAAUGACACGUGGGUCCGCUUGUAAGGGUUUUCAAAAAGCCACAGUUGUUUCACCAAACGGCUUUCAGCUUUCUCACAGCCCACAGCUCACAGUAGCUUUUUCCACAGCCCACAGCUCACAGCUACUUUUGCAAAAGCCACAGUGCAACCAAACACACCCUCAGAGUGACGGCGAAUCUGCGGAGAGGAAGGCGCGCGCGGGGGCGAGGGUGGCUGGCGGGGGGCUGGCGACGCACAGGAGGAGGGAGGUGGGGCUGGAAGCGCUGUGCAGGCGGCGGGGCUGGUGGCGAAUCGGAGGAGGGAGGUGGACUCGGCAGCAGUGUGGACUCGGCAGUAUGGAGGAAGAUGCGGAGGGUAAAAAUGGAAAGUAGAGCGGUGAUUGAACUACGACGACAUCUAUUCGCGAACGUUUUCAUUUGAACUACAGGGACAUCUAUUCGCGAACGGAGGGAGUACAUGGUUUGGAGCAUGUCGGCGGCCAGAAACCAGGGAUGCAACAUGCCACUUCAAAUCAAAAUCCUGCGGGUGGAAAAUCCAAUUGUUGUUCAACGGGACGUGUUAUACGAGGACAGAAAGAAAAUCUCAUUUUAUGUAGGGCCUGUUUGGCAACCACCUAUUAAAGUUUAACACCCGUCACAUCGGAUGUUUGGAUGCUAAUUAGGAGUAUUAAAUAUAGGCUAAUUAUAAAACUAAUUGCACAGAUGGAGUAUAAUUCGCGAGACGAAUCUAUUAAGCCUAAUUAGUCCAUGAUUUGACAAUGUGGUGCUACAGUAACCAUUUGCUAAUGAUGGAUUAAUUAGGCUUAAUAGAUUUAUCUCGCGAAUUAACACAGGGUUCUGCAAUUAGUUUUAUAAUUAGCUCAUGUUUAGUUCUCCUAAUUAGCAUCCGAACAUCCGAUGUGACACUGUUAAAAUUUAACACCUCGUAUCCAAACACCCCCGUAAUUAUAUUUACAUAAAGCUCUGCACUUAGCAACAGGGUUUAAUGGCUCGAUACAUGGCAGAUAAUUUUUAAUGGGAGACGUGGCAUCAUCAAUCUCCCAUUCUGUCCGCCGCUUGUCGUCGCUCCAACACACUCUCAUCCGGCAUUUGUUUUGUGUGAACCGUGAAAUCAAAAGCUCUUGUAAAAAAAAAUGUAAAAUCGGCUGUGAAAUCCAUUGUAUACACAUAAGAAUUCCCACGGGAUCAUAAAACGCGGCGAAUUAUGUAGUCAUCCGUGUGUCGCCAUGGCGGGUUGGGGUCCUGGGGACCUGAGGUUGUUGGCUACUCUAGCAAUUUAUUUGCUCCUGGGCACUGCAGUGGAAAACAGGGCAGGACAAAGAUUCUAAUCAGGCCCGAGGAAUAGAAGCUGCUGCAGGCCUGCGGCCUCGCCUCGCGCCCUGGCCUAGCGUUCGGGUCAGAGUAGGCCGAACGAUUCCAGGUUCCAGCACUGCCACUCUGCUGGCAGCGCCAGAAGAUGUCCCCCUCCCUUGCCCUGCAGUCUGCUCUCCUAUCCCGAAAGCGUCGUCCGCCUUCAAUGGACAUGCUCACAUGCCUGGCUCUGCAAUCCUGCCCGUUGGCUACGGUUUCUGCACAGUCACGCAGGCACCGCGAUCGCGUUGGAGCUGGACACCGGAGGUCGGGAGGACGACGAAGCAGGUCGAGAGGAGAAAGUAACGCCAGCAUGGCUGUUUGCGAGCGAGCACGGAGCAUUGACUCCGCCGGCGCUGCAGGCCGCAGGCGCUGCGCUGGGGCAGGGAGGUUUAGGGUUUGGAAACCCAGGGCUCGCGUGGUGUCACAGGGACUAAGGGUAUUUGAUCUUGGAGUUAAAGUUUAGUCCAUGUACAUCGAAUAUUCGGAGGUUAAUUAAAAAUAAUUAAAUAUGAGUUAAUUAUAAAACUAAUUACACGGGCGGACGCUAAAUGACGAGGAGAAUCUAUUAAGCCUAAUUAAUCCAUCAUUAGCAAAUGGUUACUGUAGCAGCACAUUGUCAAAUCAUGAACUAAUUAGGUUUAAUAGAUUCGUCUCGCCGUUUAGCCUCCAUCCGUGUAAUAGGUUUUGUAAAUAAUUUAUAUUUAAUACUUCUAAUUAGUUUAGCGUGAUGAUCAAACAUCCCUUGGGACGGGCCGGCCGGCGGCCUGCGCGCGUGCGAUUCGUGCAUGCCUGCCGUGCGGUGUGUGCGUGCAGGCUGCUGCAGGGGCGCAGGCCAGAGUUGUGGAUGGAGCAUGGAGGGAUGCGCCUGCGCGCCCAUCUAUGCAUCUGGGGUAGAGUACCUGUGCAAUGAGCUACUAUACGACGAUGUCUACAUACGUAUUCCGUUUGCGCGUAUACGUUGACAUCUUGCAGCAGACAAGACAUACAAAUGAUACAAACGGGCUCUUUAUAGGCAGACACGCUCAGUCCGUUUCGUGCUGCGUGGGAGUGUGGCGCAGCUUUUCUCUCUUCCGGAAGAACUGAGCCUUUAGCGCUCGUACUCACCGGAACGCCGCAGGUCCAUCACACGCACACUUCUACAGUUGUACGUGUAAUCGUAAAGCAAACGUCCAUAAGGUCGGGCGACCUAGAAUGGGUGUUGAAUGAUGAUGCAUCCGGAUCAGACGAUCCGCUGCCACCUGGUUUUCGUGUAACGUGACCGAUUGAAACUACGGAGACAUGUACACCAUCCCUUAAUAAUUCGGCAAGUGACUUCACGUCUCUUUUGACUUGUGCAGUGUAGUAUGGAGUACUAUUUUGCUUGAAACACGUACACAAUUUUACCAACCUUUGCUUUUACCAAGGCAAUUCAUCUACUACAAGAUGAAAUGAUCAAAAUGCCCACAUAAAAAUAAUUUUUAGUGUUUCUAGAACAUUUCUAUAGUACAGUACCCUUAUAAGAUGAAAUGAUCAAAAUGCCAAGUGUUUUUGGAAACAAAUAAAGUGAUAAACAUUUUGAGAGGGUCGUGUGUUGCAAAGCUAAGGAUACAAUGAAAAUGAGAAAAGCAACUUUUCUGGAGGGCUUCCUAUAUGGCUUCCGAAAGAUGCGUAAGAGGUUGAACUAUAAAGGCCAGCAACCAUCCAUUAAGUUCAGCACCACCUAUUUCCAUCCGUUCCAUUAGAUUGCACGCACAUACACAAAAUCAUACCAUAUACCUUUGACUUUUUUCAUGACACUAUACAGAUACAUGAAGAAUUGCAUGCUUAGUGCUUUUAACUUUUUCCACGACACUGUACUUAGUUCAGAAGUUGAAUAUUUUUUGCAGGGCAUGUGGUUUGAAGUUUUGAAGAGGGAUAGUAUCAGAUGGGGACUGGCAAGUUGAAAUUUGAAGUUCAAAAAUGAAAUAAUAACUGAGAAAAUAUGCAUAUACCAAUAUUUACUUUGUACAUAUCAUCCGUUUGAUUUGUCUAAAUACAAAUGAUAUAUUUGACAAAAACACAUAUCUUGAAAAGAAAGUUAUUAUUAUAUAAAUUCCAGACCUAAGAAAAAUUAAUUCUCCAAACAAACUCCAGAACUAUAUGGUCCAUAGGAUUAUAGCCAAAUAAGAAACAACAAUCAUCAUAAAUCGGCCAACACCUCAUGAAGUGUUACUCCACCUGUUAAUUAUAAACGUAGAAUUAAUCACGUUUGAAAUUGAAUUAUGAAAUAUUGCAUUGCAAUACUAAAAAUGUUGAACUAUACCUAUAAAUUGUUGAAACUGGUAAUACGAAAUGUAAAGUUUCACUAAUAAAGUUGUUGGACAAACAAAUGAUAUUGAAAUCGAAUAUAUAAUGUUGGGUUCAAGAGUAAAAAUGUUCAACCAAACCAAUGGUAAUGUUGAAUCUUAAAUGUAAAAUGUUGCAUUGAAAUACUAGAAAUGUUGGACCAUUCCAUCAGAAGUAAUGAGACUGUAAAUAUUAAAUGUUGAAUUCUAUUAGUAGAAAUGUUGAGCCUAUUCAUUUAAAAUGUUGAAAUGAAACAUAAAAUGUUGGUCAAUUGGAAAUGUUAAAGCUGAAAAUAUAAAGAAAUAUAUGAUAAUUAAAAAAGUUAAGAUCAAUAAAAUGUUGGUGAGAAAAAUAGUUUGGAAAAAUGUUAGGUCAUUUGUGGAAAUGUUGGGCAACCUAAAUAAAUUUGGGGAUUCACCAUAACUUUAAGAAAGAGUUGAGGACUGUCAAAAAAUUGUUGAGAAACAUUAAAUAGAUGUUGAGUUUCAUUAGUAUAGACGUUGAACCAAACCAUCGGAAAUGUUGAAACUGAAAUAUAAAAUGUUGCAUUGCAAUAUUAAAAAUGUUGAACCCACUAAAAAUGUUGAAACUGAAUAUGUAAAAUAUUGAGUUUCACUAAUAAAUAUGUUGGACAAGGAAACAAAAAUGUUAAAGUCGAAUAUAUAAUGUUAUGUUCAAAGAGUAUAAAUGUUGAACCAAACCACGGUAAUGUUGAAUCUUAAAUAUAAAAUGUUGCGUUGAAAUACUAUAAAGGUUAAACCAUUUCUUCAGAAAUAAUGAGACUGUAAAUAUAAAUACGUUGAAUUAUAUUCGUGGAGACGUUGAGACUGAAAUGUUGAGACUAAAUAUAAAAUGUUGGUCAACUGGAGGUAUUGGAGCUGAAACUAUAAAGAAAUAUAUGUUGGUUAAACAAGCUAAGGUCAAUAAAAUGUUGGUGAGGAAAAAUGUUGAGCCUAUUCCGUUUGGAGUUUUUUUUGACAUUCACCAACUUUUUUACACAAAAGUUGAGAUAGUUCAUCUAAAAUGUUGAUUUUUAAAAAAAUAUAAUAAAAUAUAGUCAUAUUGGAUCUCAUUUUGUUACAUUGAUUCUAAAUAACACGAUGGUGCAAAGAGAAUAAAAAACGGAGUUACGAUUUGAGAGAAAAAUGAAAUCAAAGUUUCAAAUCCAAAGAAAACCCAUCCCGUCACUCCUCCAUAGCACCCAACGGGAUAUUGACACGUGUCUAGCUCGUUUCCAUCAAGCCAGCUGCGCUGCAUACGGUUUCAUCCGAUUCAUUUGGCUUUGCACGGAUCUCAGAUAUUGAAAGAUUAGAUGAAAAAUUUCUUCCGGAAGAUUUAUAGGUUCUGCGCUUUUCUGGCUGCCGCGGUGCUCCAAAGCCCUGCUAGCAUGUCGCUGCGAUCGGCCCAUUGGCCCAAUCGGCAACUGCUUCAUUCACGGCGACGCCGACGCCCACCUGGGCCUGGCGGCCUCGCUAGCUGCUCCAUGCAACGCCGCACUGGUGGUCGCCAGCUCCGUCCCGGAGUCCAACUGCUAGCGCUGCCCUCUAGAGAUUGGGAUCAUCGGUGGCGAGGAGGUACAAGACGCCCCUGAAGAAGGGAUAGCGAUGGAAUGUGCGAGUCUACAACUGCCGUUUGGUAUUGCAUCUCGCUUUUGUGUUGCGUGUAUCUUGUCCACACUGACAAAGAGCAGGAGCCGCUGCAUCCACCCUGACCAUUGGACGUUGGGUUGUAACAAUUGCAGCAAUAAGAUCGCCCUCCUCUCUUUUGGCGUAUCAGGAGGGGCGAUGUUCUCAUACCAGCAUGGUGAAAACAAUUCGUUCAGAUUGUGCGUAAAAACAAAUACGACAGCUGUUACAACAAUUUUGUGCGUGUGCGGAGGGGAGUUACAAUGAUUAAUUACAAAUUCGGCGAGUGACUUCACAGCUCUUUUUACUUGUGGACUGUAUGAAUAUUACUCUUUGGAUACAAAUUGAGUGGGAAUUAUAAUGCAAGUACAUAUAUAUAAAACUGAAAAGAAACAGCCAUGGUAAAAUCGAAAAAAACCCCACUAUCUACAUUAUAUACGUAGUACAUCUUGACCAUACGCACAUACAGGUGUAUGCACAGAUACACACAACACAAAUGUUGAGAUCGACGUAAUAUCCACAGUUAGUAGACUUCCACGUUCCAUUGCUCUCCCUUCUUCAGCUGCUUCUUGUACUCGAACCAGUCAAUUCCUAACAUUGUGCAAGCCAAGCAGCAAAAUUCAGCAUCAUUUGGACAUCAAGACCUUCCACACAAAAAGGUUCAGAAGAUUGUAUACAUACCGUCUUUCUCAGCCAGUGUCACCAUGAUCUCAUCGAUACCCUUCUCCAUGCCUUUCAACCCACACAUGUAGACGUAGGUGUUGUCCUUCUUCAGAAGCUCCCACAGCUCCUCCUUGUAUUCCGCCAUCCGGGUCUGGAUGUACAUCUUCUCUCCCUGAGCGUUGGUCUGCUCUCUGCUGACAGCGUAGUCCACGCGGAAAUUAUUCGGCGCUUUCGUCUUCAUCUUCUCAAACUCCUAAAUAAUGUUUCGCAAAAUGCAGCGCAGCUAUGGAGGUUAAGUAUCACAUGAAAAGGAAAAAGAUUAGCUUGUGAUGAAGUGCUCAUGAAAACAGCAGAGAUCGAUGUACUGACAUCCGGGUAGAGCAGCGAACUGCUCGUUGGAACUCCCAAGAAGAGCCAUGCAAGACCGUUGAACUGCACAAGAAUGUAAUUCAAACUUGUUGCUUCCAUGUUCACCGUGGAUUUUAGUUGGCGAUAUGAAGAUUUUGAUACGUACCUGGUAGUCGUCAUGCUUCUCGAAGAACAUCUUCCACAGGAAUGAGCGGAAUGGAGCAAUACCGGUACCGGUCGCA